Molecule: long non-coding RNA, 53085 nt
Filed under: Fragaria vesca (wild strawberry)
Lineage: Eukaryota; Viridiplantae; Streptophyta; Magnoliopsida; Rosales; Rosaceae
Description: long non-coding RNA (FVES_LNC002274)
Source: RNAcentral
CUACAGCAUUGUCGAACUUGUCGACCUCCAGAAUCCAGGCAAUUGGAUUCAACCGACCGCGACACUACAAAUUAAAGUUAUCAAGCAAGGACAAGAAACAAUAUGGAUGAUAAAAGAAACACGUUUUACUUAGACGUUUGCAGUAUGAGGAAGAAGCUAGAGAGAAGGCUUUGUUGGGCCUGAUGAACAUUACAAGACCAGUAUGUGACAAAGACACACCAAACUCGAAUAGUGACACGUUUAUUUUGAUGCCCAAGGAAAAACUUUACCAACGUAUCUCUACUUGACACGACCCACCCCGAAUUUCACCCUGAAACCCAGAGUAAGUCGUGCGGGGACCACCUCCAAGGAAAAUUUACUGAAAAGAUUAAGAAAAUCUCCCUUGCAGAUGGACAACCCUAACUCGAAAAUUUCAUAUUACACUCUUAAUUUAACGCUUCUGAAUAUCACAUAAUAUACAAAAUUCUAAAGUAUUCAGAGCUACUAAACACAAGCGGAAGCAAGAAAACACAAGUAGGUUGAACAGAUAACCUACUGAUGAAAACUGGCCGAAAAGCGGGAGACUAUGCCUCGUCUCCUACUAGAUCCAACCCGAACUCUGCAGACUGGGCAAUUUAAAACGAAGGGCCCAGGGGAAAACAUUUAAUAACGUUAGAGUGAGUGGACAAAAAUAAAUUAAUAAUUAAAAUAUUUAUGUUUCCCCAAAUUAAUUUCUAAGGAAAAAUCGAAUGCAUGCCGCAAGCGAUAAAACCUUUAUCCCAUAAAAUAUCGAGCCUCUCAGACUCUAUAAUAUAUGUAUGUAUUUACACUCGUCCAUACUCCCUAUAUAAAUUCAUGGUCUAUAUAGGCUACUACGCUCGCGUCCAACGCUCACGUCACGCCUUAAUGCGGUGCUACACUACGCCAUCAAGGUGGACAGACGGGUGUAUAAAUAUGUGCCCAUACCCCCUAUAUGAAUUAAACACUCAAAAUAGGGCUACUACGCUUACGUCCAACGCUCACGUCACACCUUAAUGCGGCUAUAUGCUACGCCAUGAAGGUGGACAGACACAUAUGGCUAGCUAGCAUUUAUAUACAUACUCUCUCAUAAAUACAUAUUUAUAUCCACCGAAAAUCCCAUUUUCGGAGCUCUCCAAGAGAAAAUAAAAAUCGUCAAAUUAAAAUGACGUUAAAAUAUUCCGCAAUAUUAAUUGUUCAACCAUGAACUAUAGCAUGCAUUUAUUUAAAAUAAACGUCCACUCACGAAUUAGGCCUAAGCCUGAUGUCAAUCUGGGGUCUCGUCUGCUCGAGCCUCUUCACGUCCUGUUCCAAAUAUAAUAUUAAUUUCCCAACCAAUAUCCAAUAUUUAAUCAAAAUAGGCAAAAUUACCCGAGAGCCAUAAUUACGCUCAUUAUUGCCUAACUUCGAUAGUCUUACANNNNNNNNNNNNNNNNNNNNNNNNNNNNNNNNNNNNNNNNNNNNNNNNNNNNNNNNNNNNNNNNNNNNNNNNNNNNNNNNNNNNNNNNNNNNNNNNNNNNNNNNNNNNNNNNNNNNNNNNNNNNNNNNNNNNNNNNNNNNNNNNNNNNNNNNNNNNNNNNNNNNNNNNNNNNNNNNNNNNNNNNNNNNNNNNNNNNNNNNNNNNNNNNNNNNNNNNNNNNNNNNNNNNNNNNNNNNNNNNNNNNNNNNNNNNNNNNNNNNNNNNNNNNNNNNNNNNNNNNNNNNNNNNNNNNNNNNNNNNNNNNNNNNNNNNNNNNNNNNNNNNNNNNNNNNNNNNNNNNNNNNNNNNNNNNNNNNNNNNNNNNNNNACGAUCCGAACUUAAAUAUCAUACUCCACAGUCGUAAAUACAACCUCUCCAAAAUACGACUUAAAUCCAACGGCCGGAUUCUACAUUAAUUACCCGCCAAAAAUACCACACUUCGGAAAUUCAUAAACCUAUCCAAAACUCAUCCAAAAAUUCCAUAACUCACUUCAAUAAACUCCCCUUAAUAUUCCAAAUUUAACAACAUUAAAAUCUCCCAACCGGCGGCGGCUCCGCCGGCAGCGGCGGCCGGAGGUCAAUUCCGGCGACCUCCAAAACCUAUGAAAUUUUAACAGCAUCUUCCUCUCAUCAAGCUCUACAACUUUCAUAACUAGCACAAACACCAAUUCCAAGCCUAACUAGGGCAAUCGAACUAAAAACAUCAAAAACACCAUAAAACUUCCACCUCAAAUUUCUCCUUACCUAGCUCAAGAGGGAAUGAGUCCUUUUAGGGCAAGGUUGCUGGGUUGGAGGGCCACAAAACCAUACCAAGCUUGCCCAGAUUGGUGGCCGGAGGAGGAGUUCCGGCGAAGGAAGCUCGGGCAGCCCUUGCUUUCGGGCGGCACCGCUCUCUCACGGCGGCGCUAGGGCUCCUCUCACCGGUCUAGAAAUGUUGCUGGGAGGGAGACCGACCGAACGGGACCGGUCCGGCGGCGAACGGAGGUCGGACGGCGGCGGGAGGACGGCCGGAAUUCUGCUGGGUGUAGAGAGAAGAAAAUCGGGUGAGAAGAGAAGAAAAAUCGGGAGGGAGGGAGAAGAGAAAGAAGAAGAAAUGGGUUGGGCUCGGCCCAGCCGACCCAACACCCCUUUUAACCCAUAAUUCCAAAAUUCAACACCCCGAAAAAUAAUACCCGAAUAAAAAUUACCUUUUACUAGCUAAAAUUUACUAUUUUUACCGUCGUCGUAUUUUCCUCAUACGAAUAAUCCUCCUCACAUAAUCGUCCCCGAAACCCCUCUAGGGACCAAUUAAACUAUUUACUCAAUGAUCGAGACGGUAAAAUUCUUAUUAUAAUCACGCUAGUAAAUAAAGUAAAAAUAUAAGGGUCGGGAUGUGACACUACUACUAUAAAAGCCAACCGUUCAUAGUUUCACCAAAAUAUGUUUUGUCUAAAAUAACUUUUGAAGUAAACACUAUGUGUAGACACCUCAACGAACUCAUGUAGACACUCUCAUCAUCUCUAUAUGUUAUUAGGGUAAAUAGGUAAAUAACUUAAUAUGCAAUUAAAGAGAUAACUAUGAGCUUUCUUUGAUAAAAAUUGAAAAUCAAUUAGUUAGGAUGCACCACUAACUGUACAAAACUAUAUAUAUAAGAAAGAAAAAAAUAACUACAAGUUAACAAUGUGUUCCACACGCAAAAUAGGCGAGUAUAAAUGCUAGCUAGUAAUUAGGUAAUACGCACGUUCUAGUUCUACUGGUAUAAGCUAGCUUUCAUAGUGGUAUAAGUAAUCUACAAAUGAGAGAUAUUAAAUUUGAUAUGAAAGAGUACUAAUUAUUGUAAUAUUUUCUGAAUAAAACAUAUGUCAUAAUCACGCAUUACAAAAUCUCUAAUAAUGUGUAGAUCUUAAUAGUAUACGUGCGACAUUUCACCUCACUUGUUUCGUCUACAAAGCUUGAAACAUAUUUCAAACAACAAAGAUAACUAUAUACAUAUAUAGAUGCCAGCUUUCACCAUAGCGCUAAACUGCGAUACUCCAUCCAUCAUUAUGAGUGUUGUAGCCUGAGAAAGCACACAGAAACAAAUUUUCUCCUUGACAUUUGUUCUAGGGAUAGGAGGUUCACCAUGUCAGAGGUAAAUCAGUACUUCCUCAGCAGAUACCUUCUUGAUUAAUUUUUUUUUGGGGGUGGGGGGGGAGAGUUUUUGUUCUAUGACCCUAAUGCAUGUACGCCCUCGCCUUUUCUUCGAGUGAGCCUUCGGUACUCUUUGCUGCAAUCAAAGUACCGCGGCCCUUUGGGCUCUGGUGUUGGAAUCAAACGCCUUCAAGUCAACCAUGCAUGAAGAGAUUUCAGAAAAUAAUUUUUAAAAACAAAACUUAGAAAAUUAUAGUGUAGGUUUUUAAAGUUUACAAUGCUAUCGACGGUUAACUGUGAGGAUGAAAAAGUGAAAACAUCGUAUUGUUGUUUUCGGUUUUGUUUUGGACGUAAAAUAUGAAUACAUGUUCAACUUUUACUUUUCAUGUUUGAAAAAUAUCUAAAACACUUGUUAGUCCUUCUUUUGGCCAAACAGUCAAAACAUCAACUUGGGAAAGCAACAACCCAAUAAUGUCGUAUCCUUUAAUGUUUUGGUCCCAUUAACUGCUUAUAGUUUUCUUAUAAAUCAUCUAUGCCACUCCCUUCUUUUUCCCAAUCACCACCCUGGCACAGUGGCACCCUCUUCUCCAAAGACAUGGAAUCAGUAAUAACUCAAAACGGGGAGCGGAAAAGCAGUGAAGAAGGUAGUGAGCAGAAACCAACGUAUAGAGGAGUUCGAAGGCGUGAAUGGGGGAAAUGGGUAUCAGAAAUCAGAGAACCGAGAAAGAAGUCCAGAAUUUGGCUCGGAACUUUUGCUACAGCGGAAAUGGCUGCGCGAGCUCACGACGUCGCAGCUCUGACGAUCAAAGGCCGCUCGGCUCAUCUCAACUUCCCUGAGCUAGCUCAGGAGCUUCCUCGUGCCGCUAGCUCAUCGCCGAAAGACAUUCAAGCCGCUGCAGCUAAAGCUGCUGCUCUUAGUUACCCUAGCUGCAGCAGCACGGUCAGCAGCAGCAGCAGCAGCAGCAGCAGUCAUGAAGCUCAAGAACACUACGCCGAACCGGCUCAAGAUUCAUCACCUUCGGAAACAAUAAAUGAUGACACAUUUUUUGACCUUCCUGAUCUGCUGUUAGACGUUGGACAUUAUCGUAGUGAUGAUGCCUACUGUUUCUCGAUAGUUGAUACAAGUAUCAGUCUAGAAGAGCCUUUCUUAUGGGAUUAGAGAGCAAUAUACUGAAGUGCCAUAAACCACCGGCUUAAAGACUCCAUAUUUAGACUCUGGAGUACAUUGCUAGCUAAAGUGAAGACGAUGGUGAUGGAGGAAGACUUUGAACUCUGGCCUUGAAGGUAAACACCCUAAUUACUACUGGAGCUACAAGAUCACUGAAAGCUCAGUGCUGAGUGUAUAUUUACUUACUCCAUGUAUAAAGAUUUUCAUUAUAAUAAAGAACCUGAAGUCAGUGCUCAUUAAUUUCAUGUAUUGUUCGAUCUCUAAGUCUCUAAUCUUCUUCCUUUUUUUUUUUUUUGGUCAGAAUAUAUGUAUCAACAUCUUAAUUAUAAGUGAAAAACUUUAUCAAUGAUUAAAGGCGGAUCUAGGAAUUGAAAUCGGGUGAGAUUUGAUUUUCUAAUUUUCACCAUAAAAAAACUCAGUGCAAGAGAAAUAUUAUAUAUUAAAAGUAAUGAUACACUUAGACAGGAGACAUAGUGAGCCUAAUUACCUCUCGAAUGCAAGAUAUGCAAAACAAGAUUCAUAAAAAUAUCCAAAUGUAACACAAAAGAACCUAAGUAAAUAGAAACUGUAUAGAGAUGUAAAAGCUUUGAGGGAGCACGUCAGCCCAUUCUCUUCAGCCCAAAAGUAAAAUUACUGGUAGUCCAAGUGAGACUUAGAGCCUAAAAUAUUACAAUUAUAUUAGGAUAGGUGAUAACUACAUGAAAGAAAUUUUUUUGCCCUAAAAAUUUGGGUGGGACUUAGUCCCACUCUUCCAUGCUCUACAUCCGCCCCCAUUGACUAGUACUGCAAAAUUUCCAUGUCUAUGAGUAUGCGCUUACAGACUAUAUAGAUCUAGCUAGACACAUUAGACUGUACACGCAGGGCUGGUAAAUGCAAAUUGAAUAAAAGAGAUGUUGGCAUGUCGCGAAGGUAUUUGAUAUCAUAAUGUAGUAUCAGUCUGUUUGUUUUUGAGGUAUUACGUUUACGCAAGUCAUGCAUUCACGCAUGUACGUUUCCAUUGUAUGUGUCGUCGAUCAACAUAUCGCAGCCACCAAAAGCACCACCAGAAACCAGGCCACCACAGUCUGUUCAAACCCAAACCCCGGGUUUGUGUGUGGCUCUGCAAUAAUCCCAGCGCAGUCGACCAAGAUCUAUCUCCCACAGUCCCACGAAGCCAUUAAUUAGCAUGAUUAUGGAGCCUUCUCUGCACGAAGGUAUCUUCACCUCAAUUCCUCGACUAAAACCAGCAUGUAAUUCGUUUUCAACUUCAACGUAUAUAUGUCAGAGAUCGAUGUUAGAAACCAUGAAUUAUUGAACAGAAAAGCUAAAAAUGAAAGGAAAGCAAAGAAAGAAAACGCAGAGAGCUAAUUAAUUUGGAUGCUACAUUGUGCUAUUGUGUUUAAGAUAAAAUGUCAUGAGAUUAUAAAAAGUACAUAGAGGCUAGGGCUGAAGAUGUAGAAUGACAUAAAUGUCAUUACGAUACAAUUGCAAUAAUCCUAACAAUCGAGACACAUCCAUGAGCAAACUGCACACAGAGCAGAAAUGGAUGAGACACGUUUUUAAUAGCCAUUGACGCUGGAAGACUGUACACUCGACCGCUAGGAGAAAACUUAAUUUGGUUCUUUUUUCGGGCUGUAACCUGUUCUGCAGAUUUGAACUCAUUACCAUAUGGAUUGUGGUAGCUCUUUCGGUUCUUCCUCAGUUACUACAAAAUUGAUUGUGGUAGUUCCUCAGUUACCAUAUGGAUCCCUUUGUUUAUUAUGCAGUUCUUACUUCUCAUUCUGCCCUCCAAAUCAGAAUGGGCCAUGGGGUAACACAAAAUUGAGAACAUCAAUAUCUGUAAGCACUGUUAAGCAGGAAAAUGGGGAGACGAAUGACGAGGCAGCUGCAUUGACAUCUCACCCAGAUUAGAGAGGUUUGUGUGUAUGUGUGUAUAUCUAUGUUUAAACGUUCUCCGCGAGUCCUAAACACCUCUCUCCAUCGUAUCUUACAGGCGGAGACCCAAAUCAAACACAACUACCGGCAGGGACCGUUUAGUCAGGACACCUGCUGCCGCCAAGUUACUAUCCCACUAUCCUGAUCGAUCACUGUAAUGCGUUUAAUCCGUGAUGUAUGUACGUGCCUGUCCGGUCUCAUGUAUAAAGCAUAUAUGGUCCUUCCCUCUUAUUCAUUAUAAUAUCUUGACCUAAUUUAUCUGAGGAAGCUCUGGAAUAUCUGAACAUUGAGCUCGUUCAUGCUCAUAUAUAUAAAUAUAUAUAUAUAUAUAUAUAUAUACGUUCUACUCCAGAGNNNNNNNNNNNNNNNNNNNNNNNNNNNNNNNNNNNNNNNNNNNNNNNNNNNNNNNNNNNNNNNNNNNNNNNNNNNNNNNNNNNNNNNNNNNNNNNNNNNNNNNNNNNNNNNNNNNNNNNNNNNNNNNNNNNNNNNNNNNNNNNNNNNNNNNNNNNNNNNNNNNNNNNNNNNNNNNNNNNNNNNNNNNNNNNNNNNNNNNNNNNNNNNNNNNNNNNNNNNNNNNNNNNNNNNNNNNNNNNNNNNNNNNNNNNNNNNNNNNNNNNNNNNNNNNNNNNNNNNNNNNNNNNNNNNNNNNNNNNNNNNNNNNNNNNNNNNNNNNNNNNNNNNNNNNNNNNNNNNNNNNNNNNNNNNNNNNNNNNNNNNNNNNNNNNNNNNNNNNNNNNNNNNNNNNNNNNNNNNNNNNNNNNNNNNNNNNNNNNNNNNNNNNNNNNNNNNNNNNNNNNNNNNNNNNNNNNNNNNNNNNNNNNNNNNNNNNNNNNNNNNNNNNNNNNNNNNNNNNNNNNNNNNNNNNNNNNNNNNNNNNNNNNNNNNNNNNNNNNNNNNNNNNNNNNNNNNNNNNNNNNNNNNNNNNNNNNNNNNNNNNNNNNNNNNNNNNNNNNNNNNNNNNNNNNNNNNNNNNNNNNNNNNNNNNNNNNNNNNNNNNNNNNNNNNNNNNNNNNNNNNNNNNNNNNNNNNNNNNNNNNNNNNNNNNNNNNNNNNNNNNNNNNNNNNNNNNNNNNNNNNNNNNNNNNNNNNNNNNNNNNNNNNNNNNNNNNNNNNNNNNNNNNNNNNNNNNNNNNNNNNNNNNNNNNNNNNNNNNNNNNNNNNNNNNNNNNNNNNNNNNNNNNNNNNNNNNNNNNNNNNNNNNNNNNNNNNNNNNNNNNNNNNNNNNNNNNNNNNNNNNNNNNNNNNNNNNNNNNNNNNNNNNNNNNNNNNNNNNNNNNNNNNNNNNNNNNNNNNNNNNNNNNNNNNNNNNNNNNNNNNNNNNNNNNNNNNNNNNNNNNNNNNNNNNNNNNNNNNNNNNNNNNNNNNNNNNNNNNNNNNNNNNNNNNNNNNNNNNNNNNNNNNNNNNNNNNNNNNNNNNNNNNNNNNNNNNNNNNNNNNNNNNNNNNNNNNNNNNNNNNNNNNNNNNNNNNNNNNNNNNNNNNNNNNNNNNNNNNNNNNNNNNNNNNNNNNNNNNNNNNNNNNNNNNNNNNNNNNNNNNNNNNNNNNNNNNNNNNNNNNNNNNNNNNNNNNNNNNNNNNNNNNNNNNNNNNNNNNNNNNNNNNNNNNNNNNNNNNNNNNNNNNNNNNNNNNNNNNNNNNNNNNNNNNNNNNNNNNNNNNNNNNNNNNNNNNNNNNNNNNNNNNNNNNNNNNNNNNNNNNNNNNNNNNNNNNNNNNNNNNNNNNNNNNNNNNNNNNNNNNNNNNNNNNNNNNNNNNNNNNNNNNNNNNNNNNNNNNNNNNNNNNNNNNNNNNNNNNNNNNNNNNNNNNNNNNNNNNNNNNNNNNNNNNNNNNNNNNNNNNNNNNNNNNNNNNNNNNNNNNNNNNNNNNNNNNNNNNNNNNNNNNNNNNNNNNNNNNNNNNNNNNNNNNNNNNNNNNNNNNNNNNNNNNNNNNNNNNNNNNNNNNNNNNNNNNNNNNNNNNNNNNNNNNNNNNNNNNNNNNNNNNNNNNNNNNNNNNNNNNNNNNNNNNNNNNNNNNNNNNNNNNNNNNNNNNNNNNNNNNNNNNNNNNNNNNNNNNNNNNNNNNNNNNNNNNNNNNNNNNNNNNNNNNNNNNNNNNNNNNNNNNNNNNNNNNNNNNNNNNNNNNNNNNNNNNNNNNNNNNNNNNNNNNNNNNNNNNNNNNNNNNNNNNNNNNNNNNNNNNNNNNNNNNNNNNNNNNNNNNNNNNNNNNNNNNNNNNNNNNNNNNNNNNNNNNNNNNNNNNNNNNNNNNNNNNNNNNNNNNNNNNNNNNNNNNNNNNNNNNNNNNNNNNNNNNNNNNNNNNNNNNNNNNNNNNNNNNNNNNNNNNNNNNNNNNNNNNNNNNNNNNNNNNNNNNNNNNNNNNNNNNNNNNNNNNNNNNNNNNNNNNNNNNNNNNNNNNNNNNNNNNNNNNNNNNNNNNNNNNNNNNNNNNNNNNNNNNNNNNNNNNNNNNNNNNNNNNNNNNNNNNNNNNNNNNNNNNNNNNNNNNNNNNNNNNNNNNNNNNNNNNNNNNNNNNNNNNNNNNNNNNNNNNNNNNNNNNNNNNNNNNNNNNNNNNNNNNNNNNNNNNNNNNNNNNNNNNNNNNNNNNNNNNNNNNNNNNNUUUUGAGAAUGAAGAAAGAACUUUAUUCGACUAGAAAAGAUUACAAAAUAUGGGAAAUAUCGGUGGUAAUUCCCCACUCUCUUCCUUACUACUAGAACCAGUUACGGGUUUGUCACCAUGAAUGACAUCCAUAAGCUAUUAGGACCCAACCCUUAACCAAGAAAAACGCCCUUCUUGUUGAGCUACAUACUUCGCAACUGUGUGAGCAAAAUAAAUUAUUGAGUGCAGUGUUUAAAGUUUAGUUAGCUCUCCAUCCAGAUUUAAGAUUAAUUUAGCAGUAAUUAGUAAAGAACAGUGGAUUGGGCUUGAUUAGUAUCAUAAAGGCUGCUAAACUAAUUUUCAUAAAUGGUAAUGACCAAUUAAUUAACCUCACCAUUUUAUACAAAUGUUCGUAAUUUUAUAUUUAUAAAAGCACUAGUAGAAAAAAAAGGCUUAAGCGACAAGUACUUUCACAUUUCGUCGCUUAAGCAAUUCCUAAGCGACGAAAAAAAACAUUGUCGCUCAAAAUACAUAUUUCGUCGCUACAAUUUUCUGGGGCGACGAAAUAUUUUUGUCGCCUACAUUUCGUCGCCACAGGUCCUACUAAGACGACAACAACGAUUUUGUGGCAAAUUAUUUCUAUAGCGACGAAAAUGUUGACACUUAAGCGACGAAAAAAGUUUGUCGCAUGAUAUCCUUAACCUAACCGACAAAUUUACGUUUCGUCGCUUUAGAUUUAGACUAAAGCGAUGGAACAUGAUUGACUUUAGAGCGACAAAAAUGUUUGUCGCAUGAUAUGCUUUACCUAACCGACAAACUAUCUUUUCGUCGCUUAAGUUCACACUAAAGCGACGAAACAUUUGACCUUAGAGCGACGAAAUUGUUUCUCGCAUGAUAUCCUUCACCUAACCGACGAAUUUAUUUUCAUCGUCUUAGGUUAAGACUAAAGCGACGGAACUUUGAGUUUAGAGCGACAAAAAUGUUUGUCGCAUGAUAUCCUUCUCCUAAGCGACAGAACUGUUUGACUAUAGCGACGAAAUAUUUCGUCGCUUAAGUGAAAUCUUCUUUAUAUCCUCUGCAUUACUUCCAGAUCGAAAAACAGGAGAAAAACAUAUCUCAAACAGUGAAAAAAAAUUAUGUGUUUGUGAUUCAGCCAAAUUAACAUGUUUUUUCUAUUAUGGUCACCUCAUGAUCCACCUGUCUGAACAAAUGUUGUUUACCGGUCCAGUACACAAUACCUGGAUGUUUCCCAUGGAAAGGUAAAAAUUUACUAUUUCCUAUCCUAGCACUUUAUGUCUUUGAUUUAUAUAUUAUAUAUUGACGAGCUCAAUAAACUAACUCCGACUUUUUAUUUUCUUUAAGACAAGUCGGCGGAUAUAAAGGGUACGUUAAAAAUAAAUAUCGUCCGGAGGGGUCAAUAGCAGAGGCAUACAAAGCAUACAUGAGUACGUAGCAUAUAGUGAAAAUUAUCUCCAUCAAGAAACAGAGCAUGUCGACAGUGAGAUUACACCUAGGUUCAACCUUUCAGCUGUUUCUGAUGAUAUCCGUUUGUUUGGGAAAUUACCAAUUUCUGAAAGAUUAACCGAUGAUAUAUAAGUGGUUGGAAAGUUGUUAACGUGAUGUCACAUAAAGGUAUUUACAGCGCAACUAUACUUGAGAUGGGUAUUGCAAAUAGAGAUAUUGAGAAUCUGACUCUUGAACCAUAUCAAGAAGCCUCGACGUCUAAUAUCCCCGACACGGAGACUAUUCGCAUCAACAACGACAUCCACUUCCAACCCCACGAGUACAUUCCCAUUUCUAAUUUAGAGUUUGACUUCAGUUCACUUCCAUUCAUCCCACCAACUGAGGACUUCAUUGACGACGAAGAGGAAGACUCAGACGAUCAUUCAUAUGAAGUGAGUGAGGAUGAUUUAGAAGAUAGAGACUACGUUGAUAGCAAUUGAAAACUCAUGAUGUGUUAAAACGUCAAAUUUUUGAUUUAAUUAUGUCAUGAAUUUAUUAUAUAUGUAAUGAAUUUAUUCUAUUAGUUGUGAUAUGUAUUAAUUUCCGAUUGAUUUAGUUUUAUACUUUACAAAUAUUUUGAUGCAGCGAAAAUAUAAACGUUAGAAUCCACCAACGGCGACUUGAAUCCACAAGUCUAGUACGUUCUCUCGAAUCCAUGAGAGGAAUUCUGGAAUCCACUAGAGAAUUGAGAUAAACUCAAAGUUUUUUAUUAAUAUGAAAGCUGACGACUACAACUGAUAGGAGCAAAUAAACCCUACAACAACUAACAUCAAAGCCUAAAACCCCAUGGAUUAAAAGAAAUUAAACCAAAUCCAAACCAAACUAUUAAAAUUAAUGUAUGAAAAUAAGUAAAUCUGCAUUUUGAAUGCCUAAACGGACUCGGAUUGCCUAAAAAGCUCAUAUGUCGUGGCAAAGUAACGAGUUUGGUUCGUUGAGCCGUUCCGCUUCCAGAAAGGUAUCAUAAUAGUUAAUCGGACAUCGAACGCCAAAUUUAGAGCAAACCCAGUUUGGACUUGUUUCGAUCGAUCUGCUCUUCAAUCUCUAUCGUCAUCUGUUCUAUAUCACAUUUUAUGAGUAUUAAUUAGCAGAAAGUGAAAUAUAAAUGAUUUUCCAACUUAAGCGACGAAUUUUGUUAUUUUUAUCGCUUUAAAACGUAUAUUCUUUGGCGGAAAGUCAAAAAUUUAAGUCACUUAAGCGACGAAAAAUAAACAUAUCGUCGCCUAAGCCCCAAAAUAUUUGGCGAGCUGCAUUCCAAGACCAAAUUUUGGCCCAAAUUUAAACAAACUUAAGCGACAGAAGUUUUAAAUGUUGUCGUCGCUUAAGCCUCACUAUGUAUAUUGUUUCAUCGUGCACUUCCUGAUCUCAAUCCCUAACAUUGAAAAAAAAUCCCAAAAUCCCUUCACUCCCAGCCCUCUUCCUCCUUACCGGUCCCCAAAUCCCUUCACUCCCGGCCCCUCUUCCUCCUUACCAGUCCCCAAAUCCCUUCACUCCCGACCCUCUUCCUCCUCUCACUACCUAGAUGCCGCCGGCGCUCGGGAAAAGGAAAGCUCGGGAGGAGGCGGAGGAGCGUCUGUGACUAGAGUGUGCGCAACAAUACCGCUCUUUUUCUGCCGGAUCCAACCAUGCCACUGCGAGUACGGCGCCUGCAGGAUCCCUUGCUUUGUCGGCUCCCCCUCUAACCGACGACGAAGACGAGUCAACGACCUAAGUAGCAGAAACAUCGGCUGAGGGUGCACCCAGGGUUUUCAGUGCUCGCCGAAAACCGAAGAAAACCGGAGGACCUCCCCAGAAAGGAAACCGGGGUGUGGUGAACAACACAAAGAUGGCUGAUAUUGUGAAAAGCACGGGGAAGAAGAUCGACUUGGACUUUGAUUGAGAAGUUAUUGAUGGACCUCGUAAUUCUGAUGUAUGCAGUCUCUUUGCCAACAGUCUUGGAAGCAUCAUAUGAAAAAAAGUGGCAAUGAAGAAGGAAUCGUGGUAUGAUUUAGACAAGGAGGAGAGGAAGAAGCUUUUUGACUGUCUCACUGUAAGUUAAGAUAACUUUCAGUUAAUGUUUUUGGUAUUUCGAUUCCCUGCAUCAUUUCAAGUGCUAAAAGCCUAAAAUGGUUUGCUUUGAUAAUAUGUUUGGUUAGAGUAGAAACAUAAUUAGGAAUUUGGCUUAAUUUCAAGUGCUUGUACAUCUAGAUUGUGAUAUGUUAUGUUUAUCAGCAGGAUACUUGUGAUGUUUGAGCAUCUAUUCAUACUUGUGAUAAUUGGUAGGAACUGUGCAUCUAUUCAUAAGUGCAAAGUGGAACUUUCGCUGUCUAGUGCUGCAAGCAGCUAAUACUUUAGAUCAUAGUUGAUGGUAAUCAUAGGGAAUACAUUUUUCUUGUCUUUAUAAGGUUCAGUUCCGUUAUUUGGAAGUGUUAUCUGUGAAUUCCUAGGCAAGGUGGAAAUCCCAAUUUGUGGAUAAGCAUUUGGGAUUUUCUUCUAAAGAUUGGUUUGUUCCUUUCUCUGGUCUUCUCUCUGGUCUAAUUGUGCUAGGCUACCCAUGAGGCUGUUGAUAGAAUGAAACAAUAAUGAGAGCUCUUUGAAUAUCAUGUCUAUUGUAAUGGACAUUGACAGUUGCUUUGACUUCAUUGUUGGCCUUAUAUAGACAGAUAAGAAUCUACUAUUUUCUGGCUACAAAUUAGGAAUUGACAAUCUGUGUUUGUCCUAGAUUUAUGACCAAACCGAAUUUGUUUGUUAAAGAAGAAAUCAAAGAUUCCUUUUCCUUUUUACAGGAUAGACCACCGGCUUUGUAUUAUAUAGUGAUAGAACUUAAAUCAUCUGGAUUUCCUUAGUUGGUCAGGUUUCCUUAAUUGUUUAGUAAUCCCUUCUCAGUACUGGUAUAUCUCUCAAUUUCCAUGCAUCAUGGUAAUUUUUUUGGUAUUUUGAUUCUCUGCAUCAUUGCAACUUAAUGGUUUCAUGUUUUUUUAUGUCUUGCAGUGUUUUUUUAUCAUUGAUUUUAAUGAUGUAAAAGCCAUUAAAUGGAUCAAUAAAAGGGCGGCAAGUGUAUUUCGUGAAUGGAAGCAUUAUUUGUCCAAGAUUCACAAGCUCGGGGGGAGAGACGUGAUUCCGGAAGAGCUUUUGCACAUGCGGGAUGAGUGGGAGUGGCUUUGCACGCAUUUUGAAUCGGACAAGUACAAGGUAUAAAUUAAGUUUUGGUUAUGAGAGUUUGGUGUUAUUUGAUAGGGUAGGUGAUUUGUGGUGAUUUUCCCUAGUAGGGAAGUUAACUACCACUCAUUGUUUUCUUUAGUUAUAUGCAAUCUUAAGGAUGUAGCAUUUGUAAUUGAGUUUCUGAAACAAAAAUUUAUAAAAAAAGAGGAGAGGAGGGGGGGGGGGGGGGAAUCAUAUCAUGAUAGCACAACAGUGAUCAAUAUCAUUCUAAGGAAAAUUAAGUUUUUGCUGAUAUCAUGAUAGCUAUAGUUUGUGUAUGAUUUAACUAGUUGUCAAUCUGUCUUGAUAAAGUUGCAUUUGUUAUUAGCAAGUUCUUUUCAAGGGGUUGUUUUUUUUUUUGAAUAAGAAGGGGUGUUUUGAUGCGUAACAAAUUAUAUAUCUCAGAUUAUGGAUUUGAUCAUACUGUUAAUUGUAGUUGAGUUGUGGAUUACAGGUCUGAAGUUGUUUUGGUAAUGGUAGCCUCAAAAUCUCAGUAUGAUAGCCAUAGGUCUGGAAGUUGUUUUGGGAAUGGUGAUGCUAGCAUGUGGUUUUCUUCCAAUUCCAUUAUAGAUAUAUAAGCAUACAACCUAUUUAAAUGGACUAGAAAAAGAAUGAUAGUUUACAAAAAAUCUCAAUAUGUGUUUUUAGAAAGAUUAAAUUGGCAUGGAUAUUUAUAUUGGUAGUAUAUUACCUGAUGAUGGAUUGUUUUGUUGGAUGUUAUGCUGCCAUUUAGCUCAUGUACGACACCAAAAGAAUGAAUAUUCACAUGAGUUUAUGUGUGUGUGUAUAUAUAUAUAAUUUUUUUUAGAAGAAACAAAAAAGAUGAGUUUAUGUAUAUUGUUUCCAGAAUACAAUCUACAUAGCUAUGGUGCUCAAUAUCUAGUGUAUGCAAACUGAGAGUACAACUUUCGUUUUGCAUUUCUCAUUUUCUCCCUCUGCAGGUACUUGACUGAUGAGGCUACUGCACUUUUGCUUUACUCUUUAUUGCAAGGAAAUGUUGGUUUUGCUGUUGUUUACUUGUUUUUUUUUCCUUGUAUAUAGCAGUAUUAGUUAAACUCAUAUAUGCAUUUCCUCCAUACCUGCAUAGUCUUAAAACUGUACUCUACCAUGUCAAACUCAGUACCUCCGAGUAAUCUAGACUACCUGCAUACAUGUCAUUGCUUUGCUUUCUGUUUACUUGUUUCAUUUGCUAUGUAGUUUUGCUACUGUGUAUUUGUGAUUUGAGUGGGAUUUAGGACUCUUAAUAACUUGAAAAUUUGUGCAAAGACGAUCGGUUGCCAACUCCACCAACCGUGGUAAGAAGGAGUUAGAGCACCACUCAGGGAGGAAACCUAUCAUUUACAGGGUGGCCGAGCUAAGGGAUAAGGGUACUUCAUUACCGGUGGUUGACGUGUACCAUGUGACAUACUACAUCAACCAGCCUAAAGCUGCUGAGCAUUAUGUAAGUAUCAAUACCUAAUGCCUUAACAAAGUUUCUAUUGCCACUUUGCUUGUUGCAUAUUUCAUGUGAUGUUCAUUUGGUAAUAAGUGUAGUUAAAUUAUAGUGAAUUGCUGAUAAGUGUUUUGUGCUGAAACUUUUGGUGUUAUGCAGUGUAGCUGUCUUGAGUUCAAAUUUCAUUAGGAUUGAGGACUCUGUUUGGCUUGAAACUUUGUACAUUUGUCCUUCCAUGUGAUUACCCUUGAUCUGGAAAGUUUGGUGUUGUUUAAUAAGGUAGAUGAUUCAUGGUGAAUUUUUGAAGUUGGGUACACUGCAUUGGAAAUUGUGUUUGUGUUGAGCAGUUCAGUUGCUUCGUAUUUGAUUGGGAUAUGGGUCUUCGUUUCGCUUGAAAUUUUAUGCACUUGUUCUUCCUUAUGUUUACUCUUGGUCUACAAAUUUUGGUGUUAUUUGAUAAGAUAGAUGAAUUAUGGUGAUUUUCUAAAAUUAAGUGUUUUGUGCUGAAAUUGUAUUCGAGUUAUGCUGUGGAGUUGUGUUAAGUCUAAAUUUGAUCAGGAUUUAAGACUUAUUUUGGUCUGAAAUUUUGUACUCUUGUUCUUCUAUAUGAGAACUAUUGAUCUGGAAAGUUUCAGCUUAUACCAAUGUAAAUUGAAAAGUCGGUGAUUUUUCAAAGUUUACCCUGCAGUUGGUAAAGUCCCAGAAUUUUGAGUAUGCUUCUUUGUUUUCUGUUGAGCUAGGUGUGUGUGUGUGUGUGUGUGUGUGUGUGUGUGUGUGUGUGUGUGUGUAAGCAUGUUGCUAGUGUAUAGAGAACCAUGCUACGUUCCAGAAUUACGAGGAUGAUUUACUAGCCUCAUUAGAAGCUUUCGUGGUGAGUGAUGAUACUAUGGGCUAUGGGUGUCCAUAGUAGUUUGGUGUUUGAUUGUUAUAUUGUAAAGCUGAUACAUGUUGCAUAUUUCAUGUGAUGUAUAUUUGGUAAAGUUGAUUACUGCUUCAGUUAUCAUGUUUUGAUGAUGUUAUAAUAGUUGCAUAUAUGACUUGUACAUAUUAUUCUUGAAUUGUAGGAAAAGUUGAAGGAACAUGGUGCUAUUGCCAAGACUUUGCAGAGCACUCAACACCCGGACAUCCCACCGGAUCAGCUACCUCCUUUGGACUGGCCAACUCAACUAAGUGUUGUCAAAAACGCUAUGGGAGAAACAAAAGGGUCUUACAUUCGUGGUAUUGGACGAGCAGGCGUCCUAGAGAAGAGCAUAAGGUCAACAUCUUCCCCUUCACGCUCUCGACCGAAUAAUCAAGCGAUGGCAGCGAUAGAGGCUGCUAGAAAGGAGGCGGCUAAGGCACAUGAGAGGGCCCAAAAAGCCAAGAAGAUCGCUGAGCAGUCUGCUGCAGAUUAUCAAAAUUUGAAGUUGCAAAUGGAUCAAAUCAUGGCUCGAAUAGGGCUACAGCCUAUGUGUUCACCCUCAGUCCCAAGCCAACAACCUCGAGACGACGAUGAUGAUAGGGGCCUUGACACUUCUCCGAUUAGUUUAGGAAAUCAGUAGAUUUUUCUAGUUUAAAUAAUUGUACAAACAAUACUAUCUAAUAAUUCUUUUGGUCGGUACGAUAACUUUAUUACUAUUAGUAAUAUAAAUAUUUCGGUUAAUUUAUUUUGGUUUUACAAGAAUUAAUUAUUUACUUACAUGAAUAUAUUUUUGAGUUAUUAUAUCUCUUAAUACUAAAAAUAAUAUAUUUUUUUUUCAAAAAAAUAAAACCUAAGCGUCGAAAAUUUUGUCUCUUAAGAUGGUUAUUUUUGUCGCUUAAGUGUAAAAAUUACACGCCAAAAGUUGACAGGCCAAAAAAGUCUUUUGUCUCAUAAGGCUAUAGCGACGGAAACUUUCAUCGCAUUAAAUGUAACGACGAAAAAAGCUCGUUGCUAAACCAAAAAGUUUUGUCGCUUAACAAUAAAACGACAGGAGAACAUACGUCGUUGUAUCACUUAAACGACAAACUAUUUUCGUUGCCUCAAUUAAUUAUUUGUUGCAUAAGAUAUAGCGACAAAAAUAGGCUCGUCACUAAACCAAAAAGUUUCGUCGCUUAACAGUAAAACAACAGGAAAACAUACGUCGCUGAGGAACUUAAGCGACGAAAAAAGUUCGUCGCUUAAGUGAAUUAUUCGUCGCCUAGGUAUGUGGCGAUGAAAACAACCCUCGUCGCUUGUUUCGUUUUCUUAAGUGACGGAUUUUAUGUUUUUGUCGCUUAAGUACUUAUGAGACGCGUCAUAUGCGACGAAUCUUAAGCGACAUCGGUUUCGUUGCUUAAGUCGGCAGGCGACAAAAAUUGGUACUUAGCCGACGAUUUUUUCCCGUCGCUUAAGUCUUUAUUUCUACUAGUGAAGAAUUUAUAUAUUCUUAUGUUUUUUUUUUUAAACUUUUUUUAUUUAAUAACUCACACACCUUACAUAUGUCAGUGAGGUUUGAACCCAUGACCUCAAUUUAUAUAUUCUUAUGUAAAUCAGCUAUAUAUAUAUGUAUAUAUAUACAUAUGUGUGUAUAUAUAUAUGUCCGGAUAUUGUGGUUUAGGGUUUAAUACUAAUUAAGUUCAAUGUUCUAUCUCUUAAAUUGUCAUGUUUUUUCAACAGUAUCAUCAUCUGCUUCGCAAUCUCAUAUCAUCGAUCAGCCAAUCACCAAGCAUAUUGAUCAAACGUUUGAUCAAUAUGCUUAGUACGUGUUGUUGGUAUAUAUACCGCAAGCAUAAGCAACGACCUUGUAGACUGUCUUCUGGUAGACCGACAUCCGGGCUACCUCGCCAUGGUGAAAGAUUAUUGGUACCACAUCGGGAAUGUGCUCUCCCAAGCUCCACAAGAAGGCAUCAUAAGAAGAUAUAUGUGUAGUUAGUCCCACAUCGGAAACAUAAUAUGUGAGGGAACCUUCCUUAGCUAUAAAAGGAAGGCUUCCCAUAUUUAGAGAGGAUGAUGGAUGAUGAUCCCUACUCACUCCAUCUUGGAUAGUUCUUGUAACACCAAGGGCCUAUUGGCCAUGAUAGUAGAAGUUUAAGUGGAUGUAGCAAUGUCCUCCGAUGAGAUGGUGAACCACUAUAUGUCUUUGUGUCUCUUGUACAUGAUUGUCUGUUUCACCGUGAUUCUACAUAGUCCCCGGGAUUAUGCAGAAACAUUUGGCGCCGUCUGUGGGAAUCAUUACAAAAAGUCACGUUGCUCUACCACAAAGAGACAUUCCACCGAGAGGAAUUCCACUCGAGAGACAUUCCACCAAGAGACAGUUCACUUCAAGUCCAUGAGAGCAAUAGGUCUAUCGGGUUGUACCCAAGCCCAACAAGGGCUAGCUAGUCAGCGGGCUAGCAAGUGCCCUGCCAGGUCCAACUGCCAUGGGGCCCAAGUAUAUCUGAUGAUCCAAUUCAGCAAUAGGUCCGGGAGUUUUGUGCUCUACCGGUUGCCGAUGCAUCACCGAUGGUUCCACUCCCGGUGACUCCAAGCAAGCAACACUCGGAGGUGACACACCGGGACCCGGAUAGCUUAGUCAUGUCGACCGGGAGCUUCACAGGUGACGACCCACUCCUCCCGCUGCCCGAUCACUUCUUAUCCCGAUGACUAUAACGAAUUUCGUCGUUUUCCUUGCCGGGAUGAGAAUUUGUCAGAAAUAGCGAGGGGAUCGGCCUGGCAGAAUUUGGGUCCCGUUAGUUAAUCACCGGCAGUUUCUUCUUCUCCGGGAUAGCGGAAUAAGUUUAGGCCAAGCUCAUGUUCCCGGUCGGUCGAAUUCGUCAGGAGAGGGAGUCCAUGUGGGAGUUGGGAUCCGACCCGAUCAAAUCGGGCGUCAUCAACCGAGGGACCGCGAUCGGCCUCGAUCAAUCAAAUCUAGGACGGCGAUCGAUCAUGAGGAGAAGCUUCCAGGUCCUAAAUCAAAAGGUGACCGGCACCCGCUGCUCUCAGUCAUCGACAACUGCUCGGUAAGAAAACCAAAAAAAAAAAAAAAGGAACUGAAUCGGUUUUAACUUGCUGGGGUUCAUGUGGAGUGCAAGUCGCAUAUACCAGUGGUCUCAACUCUCAACACAUUGAGUUCUGAAAAGAAACCCCAGAAUUGUGCAAGUGCAGUGCUCCCAUCAAUACACUUUUAUGAGCAAUACUACGAGCAGGGAAAGGCAAAGCUAAGUCUUUUUACUCCUACAUCUCUUCAAAUCUGGUCUUUGUGCUAUAUUGGUGUUUAUUUGACAAUCAGUCUGUUAUGGGUGCAAGUAGAAUUGGUUUUGUAGUAUCAAUGAUUUGGGGAUUAUAGAUUACAGGGGAGGAGUUUGGUAAUUCGUAUGUGAUUUGGACAGUGGGUGGUUAUCGUGGAAUUUUGUGCUAGCCUUGAUUGUGGUGGACAUCCAAUCUGGAAUUUGUGUUAUCCUUGAUUUUGUUGACACAGUCUGUUGUAUGUGCACAUAGAUUCAGUUUUAUGCAAGUAAAUUUUGAAAAGCAAAUAUAGAGUUUUGCUGCUGAACACUUUAAGAGUGAAUUGGAUAAUUGUUGGAAGUUUAUGUGAGUAGCUUUGUGACUAGUUUGGAGAAAGGAGAUUAGUGUUUGUAGGGCUGAGGAAUUGUAUGCUGUGUUGUUGUGCAUAUUGAAUCAGUGAAGUCUAGAAUGGCAUGUAAAAGGAAGACCAAGUACUAAAUGAUGUCCUCUGUUUGUUGUGCACAGAGGAGUCGAACAAAGUACUUAAAGAAGGAUGAGUUUGGGACUUUAUGAAGUCAUGGUAAUUAGUACUUUGACUUGGUCGGUUUAAUCACUUUAAUGGACUUGGUUUCAGACUUGAUUUAUAGUAAGUUUGUCUUGUGUUGUAAAAGUGAGCAUCCUAUUUGAUAAUUGUUGUGAGCUAGGACUCUUCUAACAAUUGAAAACAAGUGUGUUCUUUGGUUGUCCAUAGAAAUCCUUCUUUAAGUACUGUGAGCUAGGACUCUUUUAAAAUCUUUUGGGUGUCCAUAGUAAUUGAAGUGUGAUCAUUUUGUUUUGUAACGACAAGUUAUAUGAGAAGUGUGGGUAGGAAAAGAGUGAGUGGAUGGGUUAUAUUUGGUUAUUCAAGUCUGUUAAAUUUGGUAUUGAGGGUUGGAAGAACUUUGUUGUUUUGCUGUCCAGAGAUUGGGUGUCCAGAGUAAAUUUUGGGUCUUUUUGAUUCCUUGUUUGUUAUGUUUAAGAUGAUUUCGUGUUCUGAAAGUCUGUUCCUUUCUGUUCUGAAGCUUUAGAACUUGUUUUGUUGCUUCAAAAGUCGAAUUAAAGUUUCCAAAAGCCAAGUCUUAUUCUUGCUGCAAAUUUCCAGAAUUCUGCAGAAAAGCUGAUUUUCUUGCCUACUUUGAGGCAUGAUAUCUUUCACCUCAGGCCUUUGUUUUGAAAUCUGAAAAUACCUUUGUAAAGCUCAUAUAUCCGUCAUGGUGUGUGUUAAAUUUCACAGGUUUUGGUUAUCUUUUGGUGUGACAAAUAGCUUGCCAAAAACAGUAGCAGACUCAGCAAAACUGAAUUUUCUGGAUUUUCAGAUUUUGUUCCAACUUUGCAAGACCGUAACUUUCUAUCCAGGGCUUUGUUUUCAAAACUUAAGCUAUGUAUUUAAAGCCUGUAGUACCAUCUUUAAAAUAGGCUUGGGUUCAGUAAUUUUGGUUGGAGUUGAGUGGGUAGAAAUUGAAGUCAAAGACGGCAUCUUGCACACUGUUUUUAACACAAGCUGAAAUAGAAACUUAGUUUUGAGUCAGUCUCUCUAGCAGCUGGUGUGUGAUGCUAUUUGGGUGUCCAUAGUAGUUUGGUGUGAGUGGUGUGGUUUUGGAAUUAAUGUUGCUGCUAUGUACGUGAGGGCCUUGAUAUGGUUUUUGUUUGCUUAUAUGACAUGCUAGACCUAUUUGUGGUAUGAUUCUAAAGUUGCAUGUGAGGCCUUGAAAUGGCCGUAUGGACAUGUUUGAUUAAAUGUGUGUGAAGUAGUAAGCUUCCAAAAGAUGGAAUGUUUUGUGAGUUAUGACUGGUCAAUGUUAAGUUCAUUUAAUUAAUGAUGUGCUUAUGUCAGGAUAUUAGGGACUCCAGUGACCCGAGGAGCGGAAUGCACGAGACUCCAGGGAAAGUCUAUUCUGCCGUACCUCCUAUUGCGCGCAUCCGUCAGCUUUCUUCAAAGGUAGUCCAUGAGCCUCUCGGACAUUGCAUAGGGAGUUCCAAGUCUUCACGAUUGGAUUGGAAACACAAUUAGGAUAUGAAAGUCUAAGUCUUCAUGAUUAGACUAAGAAACCACCGAGAGAUAGGCAUUCCACCGAGAUUGACAUUCCACCGAGAGGCAUAAGUCAUUAAAAUCCCGAGUAAUAUCAAACGAGAUAGAUAUUCGACCGAGAGGCAUAAAUCAUUAAAAUCCUGAGUAAUAUCAGUAAUAUCAAACGAGAUAGGUAUUCGACCGAGAGGCAUGUCAUUAAAAUCCCGAGUAACACCAAGCGGGAUAGGUAAUCCACCGAAAGACAUAAGUUUUAUAUCAUCCUUUUAAAAAGGGAGCAAGUGGCUUGAUAAACCACAGACGGCGUUAACACCCCGUCACUCGAGUUGUAAUACUGGAUAUGGAAAGGGCUCGCUACCUUUGUCCAUGGGAAAGUGUAACACUCGAAUGGCUGUAGAAAGGGAACCAACGGUACCUUGCCAUUGGGAACGUGAAAACACCUCGCUCGGUCGAGUAAUUUUUGAGGCCGGGGGUCGGAAGGGGUAUUUUUUGUCUUAUUGGCAGACUUAAAGAUUACGAUGUAUAUCAAGAAAAGUAAGACCCGGAAUAAGCAAGUAAAGACAAGACCUGAGUAACACUCAUGUGUAAAAAGAAGCAAGACUAAUACGUCAAAGUAGAGAAUACCAACAAGCAAGACCCGAGAAUCACAUUGAGCACUACCCGCCCGAGUACCAAGUUCAUCGGUAGUUUAACAAAUAGAAAGCAACACCAGGGAUAACACUUGUGCCAAAAAUGGAAAAACGCCCGAGCAAGACUUGGAGGGACAUAGUGAAUCUUGUCACUCCCUUCAAAAAAAGAGAAGAAAAUCGUGAGAAAGGGGGAGAGGGAAAUAAUUCCGAGUAAGAGAACUUUCUUCUUUAGAGAGUUGGGGGGACAUAGGGUGUAUGUCGUUACUCAGUCGUUACUCAGUCGUUACUUAUGUUUGGCGGCAUACAAUUUAUUGUAACUCUCCAAGUAAGAUGGUCAUCUUACUCGGGAGUUGGGGGGACAUGUUGUUGGUAUAUAUACCGUAAGCAUAAGCAACGACCUUCUAAAUUGUUUUCCGGUAGACCGACAUCCGGGCUACCUCGUCAUGGUGAAAGAUUAUUGGUACCACAUCGGGAAGGUGCUCUCCCAAGCUCCAUAAGAAGGCAUCAUAAGAAGAUAUAUGUGUAGUUAGUCCCACAUCGGAAACAUAAUAUGUGAGGGAACCUUCUUUAGCUAUAAAAGAAAGGCUUCCCAUACGUAGAAAGGAUGAUGGAUGAUGAUCCCUACUCACUCCAUCUUGGAGAGUUCUUGUAACACCAAGGGCCUAUUGGCCAUGAUAGUAGAAGUUUAAGUGGAUGUAGCCAUGUCUUUCGAUAACAUGGUGAACCACUAUAUGUGUUUGUGUCUCUUGUACAUGAUUGUCUGUUUCACCGUGAUUCUACAUAGUCCCCGAGAUUAUGUAGAAACAUUGUAAUAUACAUUAUGCAUACUGGCCUUCAUGGGUCGUGCUCAUACGUGUUAAAUAGGCAGACUCACUCACCCGAUUUUAUCAAGUUUGUGGCUGAUAACUUUAAUUGAUGAUUUAAAAGAAAAAUAAAAAAGGUUUAAAUGAAAUUACAAAUAUACGAGGAAGAGGGAGAAGGCGUUGGUGGCCUCAUGAACACCACAAGUGACAAUACCUGUGUGUGAGUCCUUGAAAAAGACAUGCAGAGAUAUGAAGCGCGCGUCUUCUUGCUUCUCAUGACCUACCACCAUUACAUGAGCUACAUUCAGCUAGCAUUCAGAUAUGUUGAGUCGUUUAUAGAAAGAUCGAAGUGCUAGCUGCUAGCUAGGGUUUGUUUUUUGGUCAUACGGUCAUACCUAAGGAGUAGAAUAUAUGAACGAACAAAUACGUACAUAGACACUAUGAACGAAAAAAGACACUACUGAACAUUUUUUAUUCGCAUCAGAGGAUUUCAGAGCACACAACGUCACAGUACAAAGAGGGUGCCAUAAUGCAGUAAAAUGGGACAAAAAAUGAUUAGUCCCACUCACUCGUAGAAUGAGCAAGCACCUCAAAUUUUUUUUGUUCGACUCUAUUUCAUUUUCCUUUCCUUUCAGUGAAAAGCUGGAGCCCUCUAGAUUAGUUUUUGUCGACAUGUAAUUGGAGCAAGCAAAUUAUUAGAUGUAGAUCGUACUGGCCCUUUUAUUAGCUCUUAAUUCUUUGAGAAGAAAAAGAAAUUACAGGUACGUGUACAUAGGUCCCCAUUAGAUAAAGUUCAUAAUUAUUCGGAUCCUAUGUUAUGAGAUUAUGGUAGUCUUUUGUUCAAUGCACCAUCGUACUAAAGCUUGAUUGGACUAUUGUUUGAUCGUAAUCUCAAAUAAGCGUUAUUAACCAAUAAUUUAAGUACCAAUAUUGAAAAAGAAGACGACGAAUGGAGUACGUGCUUCCGAGCUUUACACAUUACCUCUGCUCUGAAACCUAGCAAGCGUUUAAAUCUGGCGACGAUGCUCUUUCCCUAAGCAGGGAGGUGAUGGUGAUGCUGUGGUGAGCACGAUGGCCGCGUGGGGAUUUCGUGGCAACGAGAGGAAUCAUCUCUCUAAUCACUUAUGGCUUUGGACGUCCAAUGACGUCAUGAUGAAGGAUUUGGUCCCAACAACGACUGAAGCGGUAGGCUUCGGGCCAGAGCAGUCGGGGCAUAGCGUUCGGUGUUGUAGAGUCGAAGACUAAUUCAGAAACUUGUAGAUCCGCAACAUCUGCAACAUGUCAGUAGUGGCGGAACCAGGACUAAAAUGUCACAUGGGUUAAUUGGAAACACUGAAACAUUAUUUUUUUUAAAAUUUUUUUAUUGAAAACAGGUACGUCUAGAAGCGUUGAAAUAAACUAAUAUAUAUAUAUAAAAGAAAAUAAUAUUACCAUAGUUCUACGUUGCUAUAUGUUGCGACAAUUACGUAAUUUUAUUCCAAACUCUAAAAUCCUUUAAAUGAUGUAUAAAUAUUGUUAUCCAACACUUAUAAAGAAAGAGAUAAUUAAAUAGUGGUCAAACUUUUACGUUUUACCAAACCAAAUAACAAAAUCAUUGUGACACAAACUCUUCUUUUAGUUUUUAUCUCUUCUCUUUGUCUAUCAAGAUUUCGUCUCUUUCACCAAACAGUAAUUCCUUUUCUUUCAACAGGUUCGUGAACUCCCUCUUCAUCUUCUGUGACCAACAACUUCUCCCUUUGCAUGCAAUCCUUUUCAGUCCAGAUCUCAUGUUCAACUAAUUGAUUCUUCUAUCCUAUCCUACUCCGUAAUCAACACUCAUGUCAGAUCACAUCUCAGAUUUGGCCAUCGUUUACGAUCCCUUUUUUGUCCAUGGUUCUCAGAUAUUUAUUUAUUUUUAUUUUUUCAUUAUGGGAUUUGGUUUUUUUUUUUCUAGGUUUCAUUUUUACCUAGGCUCCAGCCUAGUCAAGAUUAGGCUGGUUCCGCCCCAGGGUUGGGCAACAUUGUCGGAUAAUCCAGGUUUCCAACUAUGUUGUCGUCAAAAUAAACCGAGGACACACUUAAUUUCAUCCUUCCAUUUGGAGAUUGCGACCAUUUGACCCAAAAAAACAUAUCUAAAGUAGAUAAGUCACACAAGGUGCAUAGAUUGGCACAAACCAUUCGCGCCCCACCUUAAAGUGAUAGGGUAUUGUUGGCGGCAUAAUUAAAGUUGCACAGUGCAAAAAUUGAAAAACCAUUUUAGCAUAAAUAAAAAUAAAAACACCCCAACUUGAUCAGAUCGAUCCGAUCCGAUUUAGGCACAGUUGAACCCGACGCUGCCAAACGGUCAUCACCAUCAGGCGACCUCAACGUCCCCGACACCAUAUAACGCAAUCAAAGAGGCCUUUUGCACUCCUCUCAAGGAUUGUACGACACCAUCUCAGUCCUCUUAGCAACCCACCAUUGCCCUUCCUUCUAAAAAAACUCCACGUUUCCAUGGCAUCGACGCUCACAACCCGCAACCAUUCUUCGGCUGUCCACUAAUCUACGAACACAGCUCGAUCCCUCUUGGCCCAUCCGACGACGCCGUCCCGAAAGCAUGCUGUCGAACUGGGCAUCCACGCUUGACAAGAAACCGGAGACGCGGCUUAAUUACCAAUUUAAAUCAAGUUUGUAUAAUUAAUUAUUGGAUAUUCGUAAUUUAUCUUGUCAACUCAUAACUAAUGGCGUAGCCAGAACUCAUACUUAGAAUGGUCAAGUUUUAUUAACUAAAAAGUUAAAUUCAUAUUCAGUUACUCUCUAGUAAUGACAUAAUUUUGUUAAGGAGAAAUUACUGGUCACUCUAUUAACUUUCAUGCGCUCGACAGUUUACUCCUUUAACUUUCAAUUUCAAUCGAUCACUCCUCAAACUAUCCAAUGUCACACAAUUAGGUCCAUCCGUUAAGUGGCCGUCCAAAUCAAUGGUUAAGUUGCUGACUAGACAUAUUUUUCAACUGGAAAUUUUAUUUAACACCCCACCUCUCUCUCUCUCUCUCUCUCUCUCUCUCUCUCUCUCUCUCUCUCUCUCUCACACACACACACACAUUUAAAACUCAUCAGCCAGCCAUGGCUUCCCACUUUUCUCUCUCCGCCCUUUCUCUCAUCACCCUCCUCUUCCUCACCGCAACCGCCUCACCGGACGCCGCCUCCUCCAUCACCAUCGGAGUCACCUAUUCCGCCUCCACCGUCGCCACCUACCCAACCCCUCUACUACCGGAGCGCGUGGCCUCGACCGUCACUUCCCUCGGCCUCGCCGCCCUCCGCCUUGACGUCUUUGACCCCAACCUUGUCCGCGCCUUCCUCUCCAACACCACCCUCCUCCUCACCAUCCCCAACGCGUUGGUCCCACCUCUCACCUCUCACCGCUAACCGCACCAACGCCCUCCAAUGGCUCUAUUCGUUGUUAGGUUUCAAUUAGAAUCGUUGUGGUUGUAGCUCAAGAACUAUGUUCUUGAGUUUGGGUGGCCAAAGUAGAUUUUGGAUCAUUUUGAUUUAACUGUCUGUUGUGUUUAAAAUGAUUUCGUAUUCUGGAAAUCUGUUCCUUUCCAUUUUGAAGCUUUAGAACUUGUUUUGUUACUUCAAAAGUCAAAUUAAAGCUUCCAACAUCAAGUUUAUUAAUUGCUGCAAAUUUCCAGAAUUCUGCAGAAAAGCUGAUUUUCUUGCCUACUUUGCGUCUUGAUAUCUUUCAGAUCGAGCCUUUGUUUUAAAAUCCGAAAGUACCUUUGUAAAGCUCAUAUAUCCAUCUUUAUGUGUGUUAAAUUUCAGAGGAUUUGGUUAACAUUUGGUUUGUCAAAUUGCUUGCCAAAAACAGUAGCAGAUUCAGCCAAAAGCUGAAAUUUUCUAGGUUUUCAGAUUUUUGCUUCAACUUUGAGAGAGCAUAACUUCCUAUCCAGGGCUUUGUUUUCAAAACUUAAGCUAUGUACUUAAAGCUUGUAAUCUUAUCUUUACAAUAGGCUUUGGUUCAUAAACUUUUGUUGGAUUUGAGUGAGUGAAAAGUGAAGCCAAAAACAACAUCUUACACACUGUUUGGGAAGCCAUGGCUGGCUAGAGAGAGAGAGAGAGAGAGAGAGAGAGAGGNNNNNNNNNNNNNNNNNNNNGAGAGAGAGGUGGGGUGUUAAAUUGAUUUCUGGUUGAAAAAUAUGUCCAGUCAGCAACUUAACCACUGAUUUGGACGGCCACUUAACAGAUGGACCUAAUUGUGUGACAUUGGAUAGUUUGAGGAGUGAUCGAUUGAAAUUGAAAGUUAAUGGAGUAAACUGUCGAGCGCAUGAAAGUUAAUGGAGUGACCAAUAAUUUCUCAUUUUAGUUAAAAAAAAAAAGACACAAACAAAUGACGCAAACUUAAUUUUGUUCCACAUCGAUUCUUAAAUUGAACAUACACGAUAAAUAUUGAAAAGAAUGUUUUUUUUCUUUGAGAUAAUGUCAAUGCACUGUAAAUAUUAAUGUGCUGCUUAUAUUUAGCUUAUUUGUAAAGAAAAAAAAUCGUACAUGUAAUUUAAAUUAUAAAGGUAAGAAACCCUUGACACGAUUUCUAUUAAUUAGAUCGAGUAUUUUACUAUACAAAUUCGUAUUUCAUCAUUAAUGUUGAAGAAUAUUAAAGAGGAGAAUGGUCAAUUUAUGUUACAUUCCAUUAAUAUCCAAUACUCAUUAUAACUAAUUAAAUUUUUCUAAAAUGUGAGAGUGUUCAAUUGGCAUAACGUGAUUAGAAUGAACACUCGAUAUGAUGUUCUCAUUAAUCGUGAGUAAUUAUACAUCAAAGAUAAUGAUGAUUUCAAAUAUAUCACUCAAUGCAGAAAGGAGAAAGACAAAAUUUGAAUUGGUUAAUUGGCACAUGAUGGAAAUUAAAAGUUAAACAAGAACAUGUAUGUGGUGCGAUGAGAAGGUAUCAGUCAUUUAUUAGUUGUCUCUGAUCUUUACACACGGUAAUAGGCUACCAGCUCGAUUAUGUACAUUUCCACGUGAAAAUGUCUUCAUGUUUAGCACCUCUUGUUCAGUACCAAGAGAAUUAAUACAUGAAGUUGCAUGUCAUUCAACUAUUAUCGGUUUAUGCUGUCGAAAAAAUAAAAUAUUAUCGGUUUAUGACAUGACAAUUCUUUGGUCUUUCAUUUGCUUUCUUUCAUGACCCAAAAUAUAAUAAUUUGAUCGGUUUCAUCUCUAAUUAAGCAUAUAUAGGCUUGAAUUUAGACAUCUCUGCUCGUAUUUAUAAAGAGAAAUUCAGGACCUUUGGUCAUAUUCAUUAGCUAUAACUUAUAACUAGUAAUUUAGAGAUGCUAUUAUACAAGCAAUGAAAAAAUUUAGAGUACCAACGUGCAUUUACAUAAACAUAAACAGACGAUCGGAGUACAAUUUUUAUUUUUAUUUUUCUAAACAAUGGCAAGACGAGGUAUCGCAAAUGCUCAUUAGCUAGGCACAAUGACUAACCCCCCUCAACGCGUGUGAAAUGUUCCAAUUGCGUAUUGUCUGGCCACUUUGAUAACUUUGUGAUUUAAAUAUAUGAUGGUUUAGGGUUCCCUAGCUACAUGCACGCUCUACCACUAGGCCACUUGUUGUGGUUCACGAAUGAAUUACAUUAGGUACAAUAUACUUCUUCAUAAUUUAAAAGAAGCUAACUAUACAUAUUUAGGAUUGAUAUCACACUAUUAGUGUCGAUCUCUGGUCAUUUACACAGUUGUUGCAUGGAAGAACUUUCACAUUUGGGCUCCGAUUUGUAAGUCAUCUACUUGUAACUUGUCGUUUAACCAUUUGAUUAGCACAAUAUUCGUUUUUAUUUUAUCUAACGACUUACAAUUGUUUACAUCAAUUUGAAUGACCAAAUGAUUAUGAAAUUAGUUUAAAUUUUGUAGACAUGUUUCUUGCAUAUGAAUCUAGAGAAUCAACGGUUGAGAUUAUGAAAAAAAGUUACCUACUAAUGUAAAAUAAUAAAAAUCCUCAAUUCUUAAAGUAAGGAAGUCUUCUUUGGAUCCUCUCUCUCUCUAUAUAUAUAUAUAUAUAUAUAUAUAUAUUAAUUAAUUAAUUUAUAAAGGUAAAAAACACACCAAAUUCAAAUCAAAUUAUACCCGGGUGGAGUUGGUAAGAGCUUAGGAACCCCAUCUUCGAGUGUGAAUCUUGCCGACAAUAUUUAAAUCUCAAUCUAUUCUUUGUGGUCAGGAAAAAGAAAAUACUCCGACAAUAUUUUCUGACAUAAAUUAGUCUUUUUAAACUAGAAAACUGUUGAUAUUUUGUUUAAAAAAAGUGUGUCAGUUAUGGUAAUGGAUAUAAAAACCAUGUUUCAAUAAGUAAAAAUAGAACUGUGGGUGGCAUAAACCACUAGGCACCAAAGAAACAACCUCAACCCAGAUCAUAUGAAAAUCGUGGCUUGAUAAAGAAAACAAAACACACCUGGGGUAGCUUUAGCAAGCAGCAAGCAACAGGCAAAUACUACAUUUGAUGACCCACUCCCUCGGUUAUAUUACAAACUAUUACUGCUUACCCCCAAUUGGUUUAUGCCCAGUUAAAAUAAUGAGGCACAUGAAAGUGCCCUAAUCAUUCUCGAAUUGAGCUGUUCAAUGAGACAUUAGGAGAGGCCAAAAUACCAAGACCUGUAAAAGCUAGAUGAUGCCAAAUACACGUCAUACAGACAUCAAAUUUGGGGCAGCAAAAAUACCCAAUAAUUUUGUAUCCUUCACUGCUCAUGGUCCCUAAAUUGCUUUAAAUUUGCUACGUACUCUUCUUAUAUAACUGAAACGAAGUUUACACUCCACACCGCACCUUCUUCUUUCUUCAUAAUGGAAGAAGAGCAAUCAACCACCUCCUCCUCUUCUUCUGGUUCAACUACCUCUGCAGAAUGUGAAGCAGGGAAGAAGUGUAAGGGAGCGAAGAAGAAGCGAGUGAUCGAAAACGGGAGCGGGAAAGGAGCAAAGAGUGAUGGGAGUGAAGAAGGUAGUCAGCAGCAUCCAAUGUAUAGAGGAGUUCGAAGGCGUCAAUGGGGAAAAUGGGUAUCAGAAAUCAGGGAGCCGAGAAAGAAGUCGAGAAUAUGGCUGGGAACAUUUGAGACACCGGAAAUGGCAGCUCGAGCUCACGACGUGGCGGCUCUGACGAUCAAAGGCAGCUCAGCCUACUUAAACUUCCCUGAGCUAGCACAGGAGCUUCCUCGCCCAGCUAGCUCAUCGCCGAAGGACAUUCAAGCUGCGGCAGCUAAAGCAGCUGCUCUUAGCUACCCUAACUGCAGGAAUAGCCAUGAAACUCAUGAACCGGAAGAAGCACGGCCGUGUCGAGAUUCAUCAUCAACUUCACCACUAUCAGAUGAACAUAACGAUGACACAUUCUAUGACCUUCCUGAUCUGCUAAUAGAUGUUGGACAGUAUCACGGUGAUCAUGAGUACUACUUUCCGGUGGCGGCGACGUGGCAGCUGGAUCCGAUGGAUACCAUUCUCAGAAUGGAAGAGUCUUUCUUAUGGGACUAAAGAUUAAUAUAGUACUAUCGAUCAGAAUUGACGUCUCAACCUCAACAACCGGACUCUGUACUUGGUCUUUGGAGUACAAUGCUAUAGCUCAAAUCAGGAAGCGAUCAAAGAAAGUGAAAGGAGAAGGAAUUCGAACUCUGGCGUUGAAGGUAAAUAAUCUCCCUUGCUACGUACUGGAGCUACAAGCCUACAAGAUCACUCAUAGCUUAGUCUAUAGUCUAUACUCUAUACAGAGUGCAUGGAUUUACUGUAUCGAUUAACCAUGCUUAAAAUAGAUAAAUAAUAAGAGUCUGAACUUAUUUCAUGUAUUUAUCGCUUUAGUAUAAUAAGAUAUAAUAAUUAUCAGCCUUCUGUAUAAUUUUGGGGUACGUAAAUAUCCAUUAGACUUUAAUUAGUUAUACAUAGACCCUAGAUGGCUGGAUCUUCUCAUCUGUGUGAUGCUCUUAGAUGGUUGGAUAUAUGAUUCCACAGCUGAAGUUGCAAAGAUUGAUACCAUGAUAAAAUAAUAGGAGCUUCACAAGUGUAAAAUCGAUCAAUUAUCAAUGAAUGAAUGAAGUGAUCCAAAAUCUUAUAAACUUAUAGGCAAUAUUGUCGAAUAUUCUCAAGUGGCAUAAUAUUAGUAUCCUCGAAACAACCCAACAUGUGUGGCAAAUGUUCAAGGCAUACAUGUCGACAACUUAUACUAGCAAUGAAUGAUGUGAACCUAAUAUAUAUUUUGGUACAAAUGGGUGUUUAAAUCUCAUAUUUGUCACGAUAUAAAGUUAAAAAGAAAAACAAUCUUCAUUUUAUGGAAGGCAUCAAUUAUUGAUUCAUUCAAGGAUGAGAACAUUAAUCCGAUCACAUACACCUUUUUUCUUCUUUAAUUAAGAGCCUCUUAAGUCUUAACCUUUUGAUAUAGUGUCUAAUAGAACUCCAGCAUGUACGAUCAAGCACUAGAACACAAAAGAUUAAAAAAAACUUUUGAACUUGAUCUGCUUAGUUAUUCUGUUUUUCUAAUAUAUGUCAUAAUUGCUCAAACUAUUUGGGAGAAGAGUUCUCUCACUCUCUCUUCCACAUCUAUGCGCUAAGGCAGUUGCAAACUGCAACUUAGGGUCUCACAACUCCAUGGCCAACGAGGCAACGAUGAUAUCAAUGUUCCCCUUUCCUAGCCUGUGGUGCCUAGCCAGCGAACUCAUUUUGUUUCCUAAGAAAAAUCACUUAGAUAAAUACAAAUGCUUCGACAAGGAGAGUUCCUUCUAUUGAGUUGGAAACAAUUGCAUGGAAUGCUUUUCAUAUCAAAGAUUAAGAUAUUCGUAUCCUUUUCAUAUGCAUAUAUACCCGGGCUAAAAAAGUGAAAAGAGUCACAUAUUUCAUUGGUUCUCUAUAUGACCUUCAAUGAGUACUAGUAUACAUCAUGCAUUUUAUUGACCAAAAAGAAAGUCCUGCAUGGCUGAGUUUAAUCUGUUCCGGUUUUCUUAUGGCAUCACUAAUCAUUAUGUUUUUUUUUUCAUUCUUAUUUUCUUCUCUCAAACGAUCAUUAUGUUCUUCAUCCUCGUACCCAAAUUCAUCAUAUAUAAUAGUGUCGUAUAUAUAGUUAAUAAUCUUUAAAACAAAUUAAUUAACUGCAUCCUCGACUGUGCUUUGUGGUUGCGUACGCAUAAGCAGUGCUAUUUACAAAGAAUCAGAAUUUUUUUGGGUUAAAUGCUUUAAAUAUGACUUUUUCUUUCUCUUUUUUCUUUUUCUCCUUUUAUUUUCUUGAUCAAGUACUCAUCAUUAUAUAUUGAACUCUUUUUCUCAUGUUUUCAAUCAAUUAUAUCACUUUACAUGUACUUUAGGUUUGCCUUGCAAAUUUGCAAUACCUAUGUUUUCCAAUACAAGUACUGAAGUAUUUUGUUCUGAUGAAGCUGUUUGAAUCCAAAAUCUGGAGCCAAACACAGGCACUUAUUUAUAUGCUGUUAAUAAAAUGAAACUGAAUUAGAAACCCGUCUAGCUAGGUGUCAAUCUAAAUACUCGAGUACUAGACCUCUCUCCAUCGCCUUAGUUAUAUUGACUGGAUCAGACAUCUAGGUGAUCUAGCAUUCUAGCAUGAAUCAAAUAGAUUACCAUAUUAACAGCGAAUAUUUACAUAUUUACAAUGAUUUAAGCACGUACUUUCACUCACGAAGUCGGGAUAUACAUGUACGUGGUUCAGUACUUGAGUUUGCUGAUGGUUAUUGACAAGGGUUCAGGGUGGUUUUGUAAAGCAACAAUAACCAUAAACACGAUUUGAUAAUCCAAUUAUAUAUGCAUAUGAAAAAGCUUAAAGUCGAAUAAUCUCAUACAACAAAUUGUGAAUUUCCGUAGGCAAAUAAACUAAAAUCUGUCAGUUUAAUUUAGGAUAAGACUAGGGCCAUAGAAGCUUUCAUAAUGUCUCACGUCAGAGAGGAAAAGUGUAGGGUUCUAUGAGUUUGUGGCUUGUUCGGCGGCGCCUCUACCUGCCGCCGUUGGCUUCUAGCCUCGUCGAUGUGGUUAGGUUCGCUCUCGGACGGGCGUUGAAGGUGACCGGGUGGUGUUCAAACCCGGUAGGCGUUGGCGGUGGAUUGAGAGGACCAAGCUUUCUUGGGGCGGACCGGAUAGUUGUUGGCAAAUCUGGUUGGGGGAUCAGUGUUGUCUCGACGAUGAGGUUUUGUUGUCGCCUUUGAGCGGCAGUUCAGGGCCUGCCUGCUGUGAGGUGAGAUGGUGUGCCGGAGCGGUAAGACGGGGAGGACGAAGCUGAGAUGACUUACCCGGUUGCUCUUCCGAUCUAGGUUUGGGCCAUCGUGUUUCGUCCCGGUGUUGACAUAGAAGGAUGGAUGGUUUGCUUCACCAUGGAGGGUCGCGAAUGAAGUCCAUUUUCAGGUGACGGCGUGGCGUUGACGGCGUGGCGGUGGCUCCGCAUCCAAGUUGUAGCAAGCUGUCUUUAGGCAGGAUCUUAGGGGACCUGCCCUUGAGAGCCAUUAGGGUUGGUUUGGGCCUAGGUCUUUGAUUUUUGUUUUUAGGUUUUUUUAGUUGGUUAUUUCGUUGUCCUUCCUUUUUGAGCGAGGGUUUCGGCCUCCUCUUUGAGAGAGGAUUUAGGUUUUUUUGGGUAGGUUAGUGUCGUUGGUCGUGUCGUGGGGUGAGUCAUGGUUAUGGUGUCGUUUUCAGGAACUAUAUUAAUGUCAGUUAGUUCUUGUUGUCAAUGUAAUUAAGAGGUUACAUGUGCAUAUAUGCUGGUGAUAUUGGCAUGUAGUGUUUGAAAAGGUUGUUUAUUCUUAAGGUUGACUAUAAGGAUGUAUCGGUACUUCUGGAUUAAAUUAGGUUACGAUUGAACCCUAUCGGUUCUUGUCCACUGUAAUCGUUGGUGUUUCGGGUAGGGAGGCGAAUGGGGAAUUAUUUCCACCACCAAUAUCUCUCUUGAUUGUAAUAUUGUUUUCCCAUAUAAAUAAAAUUCUUGAUAUUUUCCUUAUAAAAAAAAAAAACUCGGGCCAUAAAGACCCAAACUCUAGUCCAAUUAAAGAAGGCAUAUCCAAGGUACAAGCCUACUAAGAAAGUUUUUCUUGAAUUUAAAUGACAUAUAUAAUCUGAUAGAUAUGCGAAAAGCUAUUGUUUCGUUUCGAAAACAAGAGCAACCUGGCAGCUUAAGGGACUAUGCGAAACCAAGGGGAGAAAAGUGUAAUCGAUGUUUUAUGCCUGGCCAUACUUCCAACAAGUGUCCCAAACCAAGGGGAUUACAUUAUGUGGCAGAACAUGAUGAAGAUGAUGAAGUGCAGGAUGAGAUUGCAACUACUGAAAUCGAAGGCCAAGAUUUUGAUGACAUCCCGCAGUUCCUAGUUUGCCAAUGACUUCUAUUAGCAAAGCAAGGACCCAACACUCAAAGGCAUAAACAUAUUUCGGACUAAGUGUAUCAUUGGUGGCAUGGCAUGCAAUCUAAUAAUUGACACUGGUAGUUGCGAGAACUUCGUGUGCAAGAGAGUGAUCGACCGUUUCAAGCUUCCUACAGCAAAACAUCCGACACUUUAUUCCGUUGGUUGGAUUAAAAAGGGACCUACGGAGACUGUGACAGAAACUUGCAAAGUUCCUAUAACUAUAGGACCAUAUAAGGACGAGGUGGUGUGCGAUAUUGUAGACAUGGACGCCUCUCAUAUUCUGCUUGGAAGGCUGUGGCAGUAUGACGUAAGAGUGGCAUUUGAUGGGUACAAGAAUACCUACAGCUUUGUGUGGGAAAAAAACAAGAUUGUCCUGAAGCCUAGUAUCCCGCAUGAAAUUAAUUAUGAUGGAAAUAUGAAGACAACAAACUUUCUCACUUUAUCAAGUUCUGAACGUGAGCUUGAAGAUGGAAUUAAGGAAGCACUUGUUUGUUGUCCUAUUGUGAUGAAAGGUCUCUAUACCACAGAACAAGAAGUAAUGGAGGCACAAGUUCCAGAAAAGGUGAAGCAUAUAAUUAGUGAUUUCCAGAAAUUGAUGUCAAAAGACUUACCAGAUGAGCUACCACCGGUGAGAAAUAUUCAACAUCGAAUUGAUUUAAUUCCGGGAGCUAGCUUGCCUAAUCUUCCUCACUACCGCAUGAGUCCGAAAGAAAAUGAAAUUUUGAGGGAGAAAAUCGAAGACUUGUUACGAAAAGGGUUCAUUCAUGAAAGUGUAAGUCCUUGUGCAGUUCCUGUGUUACUGGUACCAAAGAAAAACGGCAGCUGGCGUAUGUGUGUUGAUAGUCGCGCCAUCAAUAAGAUCACCAUUCUGUACAGGUUUCCAAUUUCACAUUUGGAAGACAUGCUCGAUGUUCUUGGAGGCUCAAAGUUCUUCUCUAAAAUUGAUUUGCGGAGCGGGUACCACCAAAUUCGAAUCAGACCCGGAGAUGAAUGGAAGACAGCUUUUAAGAGUAAAGAUGGCUUAUAUGAAUGGUUGGUGAUGCCGUUUGGACUUUCCAAUGCCCCGAGCACUUUUAUGCAUCUCAUGAACCAAGUAUUGCGCCCAUAUAUUGGAAAGUCUGUGGUCGUCUACUUCAAUGACAUUCUCAUCUAUAGCAGGUCUGAAAAGAGCACCUCGAGCAUAUUAGACAAGUCCUUGAGGUUCUUCAAGAUAAUCAGUUAUACAUCAACCUCAAGAAGUGUUCUUUCCUCACCGAAAAGUUGUUAUUAUUGGGGUAUGUAGUGAGUUCCGAAGGAAUACAUGUGGAUGAAGAUAAAGUGAAGGCAAUUAAGGAAUGGCCUACUCCGAAAACCGUUAGCGAAGUGCGAAGUUUUCAUGGUUUAGCAACGUUUUAUCGACGGUUUGUUCCAAAUUUCAGUGUCAUUACCGCACCUCUUACCGAAUGCCUCAAGAAAGGAAAAUUUCAAUGGGGAGAAGAGCAAGAGAAGAGUUUUGCCUUGGUCAAGCAUAAAUUGUGCACAGCUCCAGUAUUAGCCUUACCAGAUUUUGAUAAAGUUUUUGAGGUGGAGUGUGAUGCAUGUGGAGUAGGAGUUGGUGUAGUUUUAUCUCAAGAAAGGAAGCCGGUUGCUUAUUUUAGUGAAAAGCUUAGCGAAGCUCGACAAAAGUGGAGUACUUAUGAUCAAGAAUUUUAUGCCGUGGUUCAGGAAUUAAAACAAUGGGAGCAUUACUUGGUGCAACGCGAAUUUGCUCUCUACACUGAUCAUCAAGCUUUGAAGUAUAUUAAUAGCCAGAAGAAUGUGAGCAAGAUGCAUGUUCGUUGGGCUACAUUCUUACAGAAGUUUCCUUUCGUAAUUAAACACAAGUCCGGAACCUUAAAUCGAGUGGCCGAUGCAUUAAGUCGAAGGAGCCAAUUAUUAGUGACGUUGUCACAAGAAGUUAUAGGGUUCAAAUUUUUGAAGGAACUAUAUGAGGAGGAUGACGACUUCAGAGAGAUUUGGAGCAAGUGCAUAAAGCAUGAACCAUGCAGUGACUUCUUUUUAAAUGAAGGUUAUCUCUUCCGUGGCAACAAACUAUGUAUACCCCAAUCUUCAUUAAGAGAGAUGUUGGUACGUGAUUUGCAUGGUGGGGGGUUAAGUGGUCAUCUUGACAGAGACAAAACAAUUGCAAGUCUGGAAGAGAGAUACUAUUGGCCUCAAUUAAAGAAAGAUGUUGGCAACAUUAUCCGGAAGUGCUAUAUAUGUCAAGCUUUGAAAGGACAAUCACAAAACAUUGGUCUUUAUAUGCCUCUACCGGUUCCUGACGGCAUUUGGGAAGAUCUUAGCAUGGAUUUCAUUCUAGGGUUACCUCGAACACAACGUGGGGUCGACUCCGUCUUUGUGGUGGUUGAUCGGUUUUCUAAAAUGGCACAUUUCAUUCCUUGUCGAAAGACCUCUGAUGCUUCUCACAUUGCCAAGUUGUUCUUUCGAGAAGUUGUUCGACUGCAUGGGGUACCUCGUAGCAUCACUUCCGAUCGAGAUACUAAGUUCCUAAGUCACUUUUGGAUUACAUUGUGGAAGAUGUUUGGGACUUCUCUUAAUCGUAGUAGCACCGCUCAUCUGCAAACUGAUGGUCAAACCGAGGUUACAAAUAGAACAUUGGGAAAUAUGAUACAGAGUACUUGUGGAGAUAAACCAAAACAAUAAGAUUACGUCUUACCGCAAGUUGAGUUUGCAUACAACAAUUCCAUACAUCGUUCAAUUGGAAAGUCUCCAUUUUCUGUGGUGUAUGUCUCCCCACCGAAGCAUGUUGUUGAUCUUACAAAUAUACCAAGAGACAAAGGCUUUAGUGUGGUUGCCGAGUCUAUGGCUAAGGACGUGCAUGGAGUUCAAGAAGAAGUCAAAAUGAAGCUAGAGGCAAGCAAUGCAAAAUAUAAAGCACAUGCAGAUUCUCAUAGGCGAGAGAAGGUGUUUAAAGAAGGAGAUUCUAUUAUGAUUUACUUGCGCAAAGAAAGGUUUCCCGCUGGCACUUAUAACAAGCUUCAACCUCGCAAAUAUGGUCCAUACAAAGUUCUACGAAUGAUCAAUGACAAUGCCUACGUCAUUGACUUGCCUGAAUCAAUAGGAAUUUCGAAGACCUUCAAUGUAAGUGAUAUCCAUGAAUUUCGGGCAGAUGACCAUGCUUCCUAUCCUGAUAUCAACUUGAGGACGAGUUCUUCUGAAGUGGGGGAGACUGAUGUAGAAUGACUUGCAGAAGAGUUCGAGGAGCAGCUGGAACAUCAACGUCGUAAGCAAGUUUAAGUUUCCUAUUAUUCUUAGGAUUAUGAUUUAUGAUUCAAUAAGGAUUUCUAGUUCCAAUAGGUUUUGUCAUUUCCUAGUUCUAUUCUAAAUAGGAUUUAGUCAUAAGUUAGAGCCUAUAUAAGGCACCGUCUAUGUUGUAUUAGGCAUUCAACAAUUCAAUAACAUUUCAGAAAACUCAGAGAUUUAUCUCACUUAUCACCUUUAAAUUCGAUUCGACGCUUGUCUACCGAUCUCACUUUUCUACCUAUAGCUUUCACUGCGUUAUAAUGUGAUUAGGUUUCAUAACCCUAGCUAGUAGGUUUCCUCUAUAAAUACCAUACAAUAGUGGAUACGUUUAUUGGGAAUAUUGUCGCAACAGACCUCAAACAGUCAAACCUCAUAGGUUCUGAGAACUUUGAUCUCCUAGAAAAAGAUAAAAUCAAUGGAGCACGGUGAUAAUGGGAGACCGAGUAAAAAGCCGAAGUUCUCUUAUAACGACAAUGGCGAAAAAGGAGACUACAACAAAUUAGAAUGGAAGCCUGACCACCCCAAUCGGCCUCUAUGGGUUUGUCCCAAUGGUCGAGUCAUCUUUGAAGCUAGCUCGGUUUUUUACGAACACACUCAAGAUUUUCUUAUUGCCAUAGCCGAACCAGUUCGCAGGGCAGAGCUGAUCCACGAGUAUAACUUGACCCCGGAGUCCUUGUUUAAGGCUGCCUCGACUGGUCUCGAAACAGAAACCAUUAUUUCUGUUUUGAAUAAGCUCUCGAAGAACAACCUCGCGAAACAACUCAUUGAUUUCAUUCAGUCUUCUACUGCUAACUACGGCAAAGCUAAGCUGGUCCUCAAGAACAAUCGCUACUUUGUGGAAUCCACAUUUCCGGUGGUAAUGAACACAUUGCUUAACGAUAAACUUGUAUCUGAAGCAAGAAUCAGUCGUAUAACAAGCAAUGGCAAAAGAGUUUGAAAUUGAUCCUAGAAAGGUUCAAGAUGUGAUGAAACGUUGCUCGCAAGAUGGUUUGAACUAUCCCAUGGUGGAGGAGUACAACUACAGAAACGAUAGUGUAAACCCUAACGUCGGUAUGGAACUAAAUCCCUAAGCACACGUGAUGAUACGACCUUAUCAGUGUAAGAGCUUGAGCAUGAUGUUUGGGAACGGGAGAGCGAGAUCUGGUAUCAUUGUUCUACCUUGUGGCGCAGGGAAGUCUCUGGUUGGUGUUUCUGCAGCAUCCACAAUAGGAAAGAGCUGCCUUUGUUUGUCAACGAAUGGUGUUUCAGUUGAUCAAUGGGUUCAUCAGUUCAAGUUGUGGUCAACCAUCCGAGACCAACAGAUUUGUCGUUUCAAAUCUGACUGUAAAGAAGAAGCUGAAAAGAUGUUAAUCCGCCGCAAGAACAACGCUGCAGGAGUGGUGUUAGUGACUACAUAUAGCAUGCUUGGUUGUGGUGGCAAUAGGUCCCAAUAGUCUAAAAACAUUAUUGAGGAAAUCAAAAAUAGAGAAUGGGGGUUGAUUCUCAUGGACGAGGUUCAUGUAACUCCUGCUGAAUCGUUUCGGAAUGUCAUCCAAAUCACCAAAUCACACUAUAAGCUUGGCCUCACCGCGACGCUGCUGAGAGAGGAUGACAAGAUAUCAGAUCUCAACUUCCUCAUUGGACCCAAAUUGUAUGAAGCAAACUGGUUGGAUUUGGCGAAAUGCAGAUACAUUGCAAACGUGGAGUCUUUUGAAGUAAGGUGUGAGAUGACAGAGUCCUUUGCCAAGUACUACUACAAGAAAGAAAACUCCUUCGAAAGAAUGCAAGCACUUUAUUUGAUGAAUCCGAACAAGUUUAGGAUGUGUGAGUAUCUUAUACAGUAUCAUCAGUGCCGCGGUGAUAAGAUCAUUGUCUUCUCCGACAACCUCUUCACACUCACCGAAUAUGCGACCAAGCUCCGAAAACCUAUGAUCUAUGGUGCUACCUCUCAGGCCGAGACCUCAAUAAUUCUAGAAGAGUUCAAAACAAACCCGAACGUAAACACAGUGUUCAUGUCUAAGGUGGGUGACAGCUCCUUGGACAUUCUCGAGGCAAAUGUGAUCAUUGAGAUUUCAUGGCACGGUGGUUCGAGAAGACAAGAAGCGCAGCGUCUUGGUCGGAUUUUGAGGGCCAAGAAAAGCAAAGAGAAGUACAAUGCGUUCUUCUAUUCGCUUGUGUCAACGCAUACAUGGGAGAUGGAUUUUGCAGCUAAAAGGCAGCAGUUUUUAGUCGAUCAAGGUUAUAGCUAUAAGAUUAUUACAAGGUUGGAUUUGCCUGACUUUCCCCCACUUGGAUCAGGAGCUUUGAGCUAUGACACCCUUGAAGAUCAACGAGCGCUACUCGAGAAAGUUCUGAGCGCUAGGAAGGAUAUACUUGGGGGCCAAGAUCCACUACUCCAUUAGCAAAGGAUGUAGCUAGCUAGCAUUGACGUUGAUGAAGUAUCGACUGAGUGCGAGUGGGAAUAAGAAACAGAAAUUUGAUAAAGGACAGAUUAAGAGUAAGCUCAAAGAUCUAGCCAAGAGACAUCCUUUGUUAAGAAAUCGGUAAGGACUAAUGAGCAUGAGAAUGAUCAAGAGAGCUAAAUGAUCAAUAUUGAAGGAUUGCUUCUCUUUUGGAACUUUUGGAAGUUAUAUAACUCUAGAGACAUCGCCCAUUCUAGAGUUGAAUUUUGAUCACUCCCCUCACAACUUGAUUGCAAACAAUAACUUUGUUGGAUUUGUUUAAAACCAUUACGUGAUAAGAACCAUCAAACAUUUUUCAGUUCGGAUGAGAGAUGUUAAUAUCUCAAUUACAAAGCCGAGACACACAAAACAAGUCUAAAAAUACAAUAAGAAUUUAUAUACCCGAGUGUGCCAAGUACACAGUGCAACUUCAUUACUCAUAUCUAUCUAUAUAUAUAUAUGAUUAAAAUGCAUAAUCUUUUGAAUCUGAAUAAUAAUGUGUAGAUACGCGAUCAUGUACGGAAAAUGUCCCUCCAAAUAAAUACUUGAAUUUAAAACUUAAUCUGAAUUUGAUAUAAAACUCCAUGGUCAUAUAUGUGAAUCAAACAAAAACUAAUAGAUCAAACAAAAAAGAGGAUAAAAAAUUCUAAACAAUUUUGGGGUCCUUAAUCAAUAAUCACUUUGUAAACAAAAAUAAAAUAUUUUCUUAAGUAGCCGCAUCCAACGAUUGGCAUCUAACGUCAACAUCUCCAGAGCCUUCCCGCACCUUCCGAUCAAAAACAAAACACCGAACCCCACACACCCCACGUGGCAAAGAACAAUGGCCACGUGUACACAUCCCUCUCUCUUCCCCCAUAAAAACGCGCCACACCAUUUGUCCUCCCAUUUGAAACUUUCAAAACCCCCCACACAUCCUCUCUCAUUCUCUCAAACCCUAGCUCGCUCGCACCCCCCUGCGCUCCGCCACACGGAUCCCUUACGAUGCUCCCGCACUCCUACACCGUCGAUUCGCUCUCCAAAUCCCAAGACCUCGCCAGCACCAUCCUCGCCUCCGCCGCGCCGCACCAGAUCUCCUCCGCCUGCGACGCCGUCGACUCCUUCCUCCACUCCCUCCCUCCCGACCACGCCCGCCACUUCUUCUCCCUCACCUUCCCCACCCUCAUCUGCAAGCUCUUCGGCUUCGACGACGCCACAUCAUCAUCAUCGGCUCCAUCUCCGUCGCCGUCCUCCUCCGCCGGCUGGAUCGACACCGUCCUCGCCUCAAACGACGUCGGAUUGGCCAACAAGCUCUUCUCUCUCCUCGCCCCCACCAGCCUCCUCUUCCGCUCCAUCUCCGCCGUCGAUCGCCUCUCCCUCGUCAAGUACGUCUUCCCCGUCGAGCGCCUCCCGGAAUGGGUCCGAUUCAUGCUCUCCUCCGACCACGACAGCGCCGCGCUCUCCGAUUUAGCUCCGGUUUUCAAGAACCGGGUCAAGGAUGACCCAAUUCAGCCCAAUUUGCAUCAGGUUCAGCUCAAUGUGUUUGAAUAUUACAUAUUCUGGUUUGCUUAUUAUCCUGUGUGCCGCGGAAAUGGAGAGAAUUGUGAUGCUGUUUCUGUUAGGAGGAGCAAGAGAUUUAAGUUUGAGAAUUGGAUUUCGUCUUUUUCGGGGUUUUCGAGCCCUAGGCGUGGCAGUUCGGAGCAUAGAAUCGAGUGUAGUCUUUAUAUCAGGCUGUUAUAUGCUUAUCUUAAUGCAUUUGUGGCUGUGACUGAUUUCAAUUCGCAAUUGCCGUACCGGAGUUCGCUUUUGCAGUACUCUGCGGGCUAUGAUAGUUCGGAGAUAGUGAAGGGGGAGUUUUUGGUAAACGCGUUGAUGAAUUUUUGGUUACUUGAUAAUGAUUUUUCGCCACUGUCUGUGAAUUUGUGUAAGUCGGUUGGAGUUAAGUUUCCGUUUCGGUCGGUUUUAGGAGAGACACCACCGUCUCCUGGAUUAGGAGAAGUGGUGAAGUUGCUUGUGAAGUACUUGAAUUUAGGUCUGGUGGUGCACCAGAAUGGGACUGAUAAUGUGGAAUAUGGUGCGAGUCCAAGGUGGAGAAUGUCGGGUUCGAUUGAUGUUGGGAAGCCAAUGGAUGCAAUGGCUGUGUCUCCCGGUGUGCUUCCGAAUGGGUCUUGGAACUUGCUGAUACAGAGGCCUUUGUACAGGUUUAUAUUGAGGGCAUUCUUGUUCUGCCCGGUGGGAGCUUCGAUUAAAAACAUUUCACAAGUGUUUUCGGUUUGGGUUACCUACCUGGAACCUUGGGCAAUCAGUUUGGAUGACUUUGGGGAGCUUGAUGCUAUUGUUGACAGUUCAACUAAGAAUGGGAGAAAGGAGCCCUUGCAGUCUGAGGCACGUGGUUAUUCACCUUCUUGGGAGGCUUAUGUGUUGGUAAAUUACUUGUAUUACAGUUCCUUGGUUAUGCACUUUAUUGGGUUUGCACACAAGUUUCUUCACACUGAUGCAGAAAUCAUAGUCCAGAUGGUAUCAAAGGUCAGAUUCUUAUGCAUUGCCCUUUCUUUCUAAUCGAAGUUUACUUCCUGUGCUGAAAUUUAAUUGCUACUACUUGUGGUAUUUUCUUGAGAUUGAUCAAUGUGCUUAGCAUGAAAUCAUGGACAUGAAACAUUGAAACCUCCAGUUUCAAUCACUUUGAGAAAAUUAGCAUGGUUGAAUAGCUGAUGAAAGUCGUAAUAUAAGUAUCUUCCCCAUUUGAGUUUGCUUUCCCUUAUGAUUUUAAUCUUGCAUUGUCCUAGACGUAUCUAUUGGCCUGUAAGGUCUCUGAUUGAAUCUGUUACGUGGACUAGAAGAUUGCAUCUUGGUGAAUUUUCCCAAUUGUAAGAUUCAACAACGGCACUCGUAUAAGUAGUAUAAAAGUAAGAUGUCAUUUUGGUUUGGCAUCUGUUGUAGAUCUUUACCAAGUAUUGAGGCUUGACGUGAUAAGAUUUCUUCAUUUGAAGGGAAAUAUGAUACUUGAGUACAUGCUUGGAAUUGGCUUUCUUUUUUCAAAAUCAAAGGUUGUUCUUGCUCCUUUUUUUUUUUAUUCUAUGCUUGAGUUUAAUGUUCUUAUUGUGGCUCAAAAAGAGAACAUUAGCUAUAGAACUAUAUUCCUACAACAACUGUUCCCCCAGAAUUUAUCACGGAAACAGAAGAAACAGCUAAGAGGACCGAAUUCCCUUUCAGGCUUAGUAGAAAUUGCAACCAGCUAAGGAUCUGCUAGGAAAUCAUUUACUUGAUAAUAUGUAGAAUUAUGCAAUCAUAAUUUUUGCGGAUGCCUGGUCAACUAUGUGGAUGUGAGGCACUUUUUGCUUUUUUUAUUUAAUAUGAAUGUACCUUUUUGUUUUAUUCUUAACUGUUAAUGUACUGUGUACAGGUUCUAACUAUAUUAACAUCAUCCAAAGAUCUACUUGAUCUUAUGAAGACGAUGGAUAUUGCUUUUCACUCCAAACAAGCAGGAUCCGGCAAAUCGAGGCUUAAUAGUUUAUAUAGAUUUGUCACUCCAAUUCGUGAGCAGUUAAAUGUAGAGUUUCUUGACCCUCCCUUUUAUUUUUAUUUUUGAUGAGUCACGCUAUUUUAUCCCUGUUACUUUCUAAUUAUUUCUUUGCUCAUAGUACUAUACAAAAGUCAUUUACAGCCAUUAUGUAUAUGAAAUUUAUUGGAACAGCUGCUUUGCUAUGUUAGUUAGAUUAUUAAGUGCAUGAUUUCCGUAAAGGGUUCUGGAGGGUCUAUAUAAAUUAUCUACCCUUGUAAAUUAUCAGUGUUUUGCUCAACUGUUUGAAAUUUGAAUCAGUGUAUUUCCAAUUGGUAAUAUUUAAUGAUUUGUUGCUAAACUACAGGACUGGGAGGAUGGCUUAUGUGAAAGUGAUGCUGAUGGGUCUUUCUUGCAUGACAACUGGAACAAAGAUUUACGACUGUUUAGUGAUGGAGAAGAUGGUGGGCAACAACUGCUUCAGGUUUUGACUGAUGAUUGCUAGUUUUUUCUCUUUAAUAUAUGUUGACCAAAAUUGUGUAAACAUCUGUCCACCGUCUCAAGAUCUAAUCCAAUGGAUACGGUUGUCGUUAUUGCAGUUGUUCAUAUUACGUGCAGAAGCCGAAGUGCAAGCAAUUUCUGGUGAUAAUCUUACUCAAAACCUUCAGUGCAUCGACUCUUUGAAAGAUCAGGUGGCCUGCUUGUUUGGUAGUGAUGCUGUAAAGAGACUAUCAUUUUCCCCUGAAGCAAAACAGCCUGCACAACCCCGUGAUGAAAUUUUCAAGCCCAGGAGAGUUGGCAAUUAUGCUUUGGCUGAUAUCAAAUACAAAGGUGACUGGAUGAAGCGGCCCAUCUCUGAUGAUGAGGUUGCUUGGCUUGCAAAACUGCUUGUCCUCUUCUCUUGCUGGCUAAAUGAGAUUCUUGGACUGAAUCAGGCUGAAAGCAACGAAGUGGGUUCUAUACAUUCUUACGUGAAGGUCCCAUCAAGUGAUGUUUCAGGCACUAAGGCAGUGUUGGGAGUUGUUGGCUCUUGGAUUGUCAUGUUGGGUGAGGGGCUGGUGAGGCUCGUAAGAAAACGUGGUCUGAGAGUGAACCUUAGGGUAUUGGCCUCAAAGAAGGUUGUAAUGGUCUUGAUCUUGUCUGUUGUAUAUAGUGUAUUGAAGAGCCUUUGGACUGUUUCAUACGGUAGAGUGGAGUAAACAAGAACACUGAGAGAAGAGAACAGGGUACAGAAACGGGAAAAAGCGAGAAUUUUUGUGUCGCAGGUUCGUUAUACUUGGUCUUUUUUGGUUAUGUAAAAGGAAGCUACGGAAUGAAGCAUGUUUGUUUCAAUUCUUGUCCGACUUGGGCUAACCCCCUGCACUGGGUUUGUCUCUUAUUCCUUUCAUGGUCUUUGAUGUAUGUAGAGGAUGUAGAUGACACCUCCUCUUUCAGGUGUGGUUUCGUAGGUUUCUUCCGGUCACUCCGACCACCGGUUUUACAACUACGGAAUGAUAGGAUAACGGAAGCUCGGUGCUUAUGAGAACCAUUUUGGUUUGUCCAAUUCUGUAAUUGGCUCUGCAGUCCCCAACAUUUUUGUAGGUACGUACUGCUGUGAGCCGAAUAUCUACUCUAGUUCACCAUAAACAAUGGAUUAUAUCUACUCUAGUUCACCAUAAACAAUGGAUCUCGUACUUUUAACCUAUUUCUACCUUUGAUGAAACAGAAUAAUCCGGUCAGCUACUAUUUUGCACAUGCGUUCUUGUUCUCAGGUAGUCGGGUCUAGGCGUACAUGAUUGACAUAUGAGUUUCGUAACAGUGCACUCUCCAAGUCGUGGACCUAUGUCUGUUGAUACAAUUAUUGACCUUAUGGGUCUCAUGGCCCAUUUGAACUACAGUGGCACGUUUGGAGUUUGGAUAGUUCAACAUACCAUUAUGAAAAGGUUUGUGACAUUUGGUGUAGUCACUUGACCACUAGUGUUAUGAACCAUGUAGAUCAAUGAUUACGAAAACAUCAAGUCAUUUAGCAGAGUACCAAGUUGCUUCUCAUCGACCAAUGAAAUUAGACGUAACUUGAUCAUCACAUAUAUAGAUAGAGCACUAGAGCACAUAUGUAGACCACCUUGAAUCAUAGUAUAACUGUAUAACAGUCAAAGAGUGCUUGUCCAAUAGUGGGACUCUUUUACUUAUAGCACAUAGCACAUGGUAACCUCAUGGGUCUCAUUUGAGGUAGAGUGAAUCUAGAAUAUUUUUUGAAUUGCUGAAUUGGGUGGAGUCUACCUCAAAUGUUGAAGGAGUUGUGAGAGUGUGGAGUAUUCUUUCACAUUGCAAAAUAGCGCAUAAUCUGACAUUCAAAAGUUUACGAUGAGCAUCUAUUUGAGUUGAUUAUUUCCAAAAGCCUAAAAAUAUUUUUAAGAGAUAACCUGGAAAGGCUCAAGUUUCUCGACAGCACCAACAUUCAAGGAAACUCUUAAGAAGAAUGAAGGAAUCAAGACCAACUCGUAUAAGAACUUAAGCCUCUUCGACAUCAUAAAUUGAUGUUCGGUUAAACGUCGAAAUUCUUUUCAUCGACCUCGGAUACCGGAAGGAUCAAAACUAGGAGAAGCACAUUCCAUCUUUCCCCAAACAAAGGGCUAUAAGAUAAGAAUGUGUUACACGAGGUUACAUGCGAAACAAAAAAGUGAGACUAUACAACAACAAAAAAGUGCUAUCAUGUUUUCUUUGCGUCGACUUGGAGAGCUGGAGGUCACUGUCGCCGUCCGUGUGAAUUGUUAAGUGAAAAUUAGAGUCGCUUUACAAGCUCUCCUUUAUAACCAUAUGCCAUAAGAAACUGUUUUCACCGAAUUAUCAAAGUGAAAGCCUUAGGUCUAGCUAGAGAUAGAAAAUAAUAAUCUUGAUAUAUUGACCGAAGAAAAGAAGGUGUGCUUUUGUAUUGAUAUGUAUUAAUUGUCUACUAAAACAACAUUGUUAUAAGAGCGUGUGCAUAUCAUUGUCACCUUCACCAAUUAGUGAAGUGUGAAUUGUACUAUUUACUCUGUGUCAUGUGAAUUUUAUGGGUUAUGUAUGAUGAUAGAAAAAUUCAUGACACGUCUAAAAGUGUGUGUGUUAUGCUAGGUAGCCAGCUCAUCCAUGGAUGCCAGGUUUUAGAUUUAGAGACAAUGCAUGUCUUGCCAAACAAAAGAAACCAAAAAAAGAUUAUUAGAGCAAGUGGUGGAGACCAUAUAUGCAUAAUGUAGCAGCAUCAGCUUAUUAAUCAUUCAACUUAUUAGGACACGUGAUCAUGUUUUAUUGACCAAGUUGACCCUUUUGCCAACGAGUACGUUGCUCCUGCCCAAUAUAAACAAAAGCCAAGUAGGCAAACGAAAAUUCAUAUCGAUCACGGCUCGUAAUCUAUCGAGUUAUUUUCUUUAAAAGAAAUGGAGGUGCAUGAUGUAAUUAGUGAAUUAGAGGUACUUUGUUUUGUAAAUAAGGUUAUUAUUUGAGGAAUCCAUGCCAAUAAGUGGUUUAGUAAAACACAUAUUUAUACUUAAAAAGAAAAAAAAAACUUAAGGUAUAAGGACUAGGGAGUAUACGAAGUCAAAUGAGCACAUUUGAAAAUCUCAGUAUAAACUCUCCGACCUUAAGGAGCUUAUGUCGUCAAACAUAUAUAACUGCAUGCAUGUGUUCCUGCAUACUCAUCUAGACAUUUGUGUUUGGACUCUAAGCGUUCUCUUCCUCAACUCCAAAAGGCAAGUUGAUCCAAUCAUUUUAUACUUUCCGCCAAACUCCACAAAUAUAUAAGCCAGCGGCCAACUAACUUUCAGUGCACGAACAGUUCUGUCCAAAACGAUAAAGGCAGACAACCACUGUAGCACACAUAUGCCAUACCCUUGGAUUGAAGGGCAGGACUGACCCGAAACUCCAGGGCAGAAGUAAGUUUAUACAGUAGAAUAGAAGCAUGAUUAUUCUCUUUUGGACCCCAGAACAUUACCUGGUUUUACCUGAUCGACAACUACCAUUUAUACGCAUCAAAUCCGACCACGUAUACAAGAACGAGAAUCAAAGCAAGUUAAAAGAAAAAAUAAACCAAGGUCAUCGAGCAAAACACAGGUUUGAGAGUUUCUGUAAUUCAAUGACCUGGGGACGAUGAAAAUAUAAUUCCAAAGCAAACGAGAACGUGUUAAUGAAGGAAGACAAUAAUUUGCUUUGUCGUCUCUGUGCGUUCACUUCGUGCAUGGUACGUACGUUGUUAUAAUUUUCAUGAUCGAUCUUUGUCGUGGCAUACCAACUUCUUGUUCUUUUCUUCUAUCAGAAGGUCAAUCCAACGAACUGGGUUUAGGGUUUGCAGCAGCCAAUUUUCAGCGUUCUUGGCAAAUAAGCUUUGGGGAAGAAGACCUAUAUUGACCUGAGAGAAGAGAUUGGAGACAAAAAAAAAAUUCAUUUGGACAUGUUUUGAUUAUUUGAUUUGAUUGGAACGUACCCUAAUUCUUGGAAUAUAAGAAGCAUUACUCAAGGACCACACGUACCUUGGUUCUUUUUCUUUUUUCUUUUUUUUUGUUUCUCAACGAUUUUCAAUUUCCUAAUAAUAGAGAAGAUUUUGUUUAUGCCAUAGCCACACAUAUAUGAAGAUUCAUGAUCCUGCCAUCUUCCUCCGACUCGAUCAAUUGUAGUAAUGGAAAGGUUCCAUACAUAUGUAUGGUUCAUUCUGUGCUGGCGAAUUGGUUAGUUGGUAGUAGGUACCAUAUAUAUAUGAGAGCAUUAUUUUAGUCGUCUAGUUGAUAUAUAGUUCAAAAAUCGACUUCCGGAUCCCGAAUAGUGUUGAUAAAAUAACGAUUGAUUUUAGGACAAACAGCUAGCACUAUUGAAGGACCAUUAGAGAAGUCGAUCGAGUAGCAUUAAUCUAGUGAUUACUUUCUAAAUUCGCUUUCAAAAUAUUUGAUUGUUAAUGUAUGCAUAAAUUGCAUGCAUAUUUUUCUGUACAAUUGAAGUACACCCCCUUUCAAGUAUCAAAUAAUAUUGACUAGAUCGACAAGCAUAUAUUGUUAUAUUAGAAAUUAGAAGCCCCAAUCAUGUAACCCGAGGAUUUCCUGGCACAAUCGGUGCUUGAUCGCUUGGUCUAGGUAGAGAUUUUUAUUUUAUUUGACACAUGUUCUGCAUUUCCAUUUACAAAUAUUGGUGUAUAUAUAUGAUAUACUUGCUCAUGCUGCAAGGAUUCCUAGAAUGUAAUAAUGGUGUCAUUAGACUGAACUGAUCAGUGACCAAAUUAAAGAGAUUUUUUCUUUCUUUUUGGUUAUAAGAACCUUCGUUAAACCAACAAGCAUAACAACAGCAGGCUUCAACAGUUGUAAUUGUUACUCGCCAAGAUCUAGAUGGGAACUCUUCCGAUCCUCGGCAAGCUUCGCCGGCCGCUUUACUUCUUGAUUCUACUAGUAUUGGAUUUCUUAGAGGCUCCUCCUUAUAAAUGUUUAGUUCCCUUUCUCCAAAAAAAAAAAGAAGAACUAAUAAACAUAACAACAGCAGAAAGAAAUUGAAAACAGAAAACACUACAACAGCCUAGCCUUCUCCCACGAACGCAAGAGAUCGAGGAGAAAAAACGCAAAUGAAAGAGUUGGAAAAAUUAGUUGUAGUAGAUAAUAAUAUGUCUCAAUGUUUGCAUUUCUCAUUCAAAUUAAAGACAUAUUUUUCUCCAGAUCCAACAUUAUGAUUGAGAACUACUAUUCAAUAAAAACAUAGGGUGGCCUGGCCAUGAUAACCCUUCCUGCUGGUAAUAACGUACAGCUCUGCCGUAUUCGAUCUUCCUUGACACUGUUUUUAAUUUUCACGCUUUUAUAUAUAUAUAUAUAUAUAUAUAUAUAUAUAUAUAUAUCUUGUUUCAAAUAAAGAUAUCUGUAUAUAAUUCAAGCCGCCCAGGCCAGGCCAUUCCCGUAUUGAAGUCUUACUGUUUCUUCAACUGCUUUUCAUUAUGUUGAAAACCAGAUUGCUUUUAUUUAUUCAAUCUACAUGUCGAAAUCCACUCACAAUAAUUAUAGCUUUCAAGGGGCUGAUCAGUUUUUCAAUAUAUACAGCAGCGGCAGCGACAGCAGCGGCCCUCAUGCAUGCAUUAACAUUAUGGAUCAGUAUCAUUCGUUUCUUUUAAUUUUUAAUAUUCAGCAAGAAAACUUAUUUAAUUAGAAGAGAAUUCUUUGUAAAUUAGCUUGAACAAUAUAAGAAAAUGAUCGUUGACUCAAAUAUGACCUAACAUUUAUUAAUUUAAUAGGGCAAUGUGGUUUCACAUGCAUGCAUCACCCAAUUGCCACAUCAUAUCAUGUAAUGUGAGCAAAAAACAUAGAGAAAAUUGAAAAUUAAGCCGUUAUAAUAUCUAUUAUUUGAAAAAUAAGUAUCGGUAAGUUUAUGUUUUACUAGUCUGUCUUAAGGCAUGUUAUGUUGCCUAUUGCACUGUUUUAUUUUGGUUUUAAGCCAGUUAUGACUUUAUACGGAUGGUUCAUUCUUGACGUCACUUUCUUAAGUGUUAUGUUCCUGUAUUUACUAUUUUCAAGGGAUGUGAAAUCCACACAUCCUAAAUUGAAAUUCAUACACCCUUUUUUCCUUUUUUUUGGCAACUUAAACUUUGUCCUUUUGUGAAUGUGUUAGCAAAAAAAAAAAUGAUGUGUGAAUUUCAAUUUAGGGUGUGUGGAUUUCAUAUCCCAUUUUUAAUUGAUUAACACCAAACUCUUUAACAUAUGUUAGCAAGGUUUUGCCGCCACUCUCCAAAGCCCUAGCUAUGGAGAGGCAAACGCAAUUUCAGAUCUCGCAUGUCCGAUUGUGUCUCUCCGCCGACGACUGUCUUUGACCUUGUUGGCGUACGCUUGGCACAGCCAGACAAGUUUGUUGGGAGAGUUUUCAACUCGGAGACGAAGAUCAACCAGCUUCUCUCUUUUCUCUUUCGGUUGAAGGCUUUGUCAAGCUGGGGUUGUGGGCAGUGAUCAGAGGUCACUUUGGGCUGCGCAUGACUGGAAUGGAGGCGAGUGGAUCUCGGAUUCAAUAUGCUGGCAAUUUUGGCAUACAAUGUUUAAAAAAGUUGUUUAUUCUUGAGGUACGGUUGACCAUAAGGAUGUAAUGAGGUUUCUGGAAUAGAUUAGGUUACAGUUGAACCUUAAUUGGUUCUUUUUCACUAUCAUCGCUAGUGUUUUAGGUAGGAGGAGAGUGAGAAAUUUAAGUCUAUCAUCACUAGUGUUUUAGGUAGGAGGAGAAUGAGAAAUUUAAGUUUACGCCGAUAUCUCUCAUGGUUGUAAUCUUGGAUUUUUUCAUUUUUUUAUCAGGUAAAUAACUCAAAUAUUACAACUUUAUGAGUCGAAUUCACAACCUCUCACUUAUUGAAAAAAGACUAUGAUGCUAAACCAAAUAGUUCUAGGCAAUCUUAAAUUUUAUAAUCUAAAAUUUUAUCUUUCUAAGAAAACAAAAAUAGUAUAUAUUAAUUAUUCAGUAUCAUGCAACACGGUGACAAAAAUGAAUAUUAUUCAACAAAUUCAUUGAAUCUCUGUUGCAGACUUGCAGGUAGCAGGACCCGAUAUUAAUAUGACUCGUAUGCCCCAAAAUUGGACAGAAUACCAGGCUUCGGUGUUGGACAGACAAAACUUGGCAUUGUUCGAUGUCUACGUAUUCAUAUAUAUGUUUUUGUUUAUCUUAUAUUUUUGCGGACAUAUUGGUUCCAUAAAUACGAAGUUACACCAAUAUAUAGUAGUAGCCCCUAUGGGAGGUAUAACAGUUUGCUAAAAAUUCAUUGGAGUCAUCACCCACGUUACUCAUAUCUUCAUUGAUUUCUUAAAAGGACCAUUUUCAAAUUAUCCACACAAAAAAAAGGAGAAAAAAAUAAUAAUUGAGAGACCAUUUUCAAGAUUAUAUAUAGAGAUUGAUGAUUCUUCUCAGCCUAACUACUACUUGCACCGGAUUAAUCAACUAAAUUCUUUAUGCAAAUUAACUCUAUGGCAGCCUCGAUCUCGAUUGUUUACGAAAUUGUUGUAAGGUUACACGGUUUACUAGUUGAAUACGAUUAAUUUACAAGACAAGGCAGCAUCUUCAUCAUCUCUACUCUAUAAUCUUACUUUUCAUUUUCCUCGUCCCAUGAGAAAAUUUUAGACGAUAGUUUAGUUGUUCAUACUUGCUAGAUCUUUCAUCAACAUGAACUUACUAGUUGGUUUUUACUUCUUCUCUUUUCUAUUUUGGCCAAGACGGAUGUUGUACUAAAAGCAUUACUUAGAAUUGAGUAACUAAGGUUGCCCGGGUCACAAUAUAAUGGCUCUCUCUUAGUUAGUCCAAAUGUCCAAUGCGACCAUCUCUUUAGUUAACUUUUCAACUAUUGUUUUCUAGCCCUACGCAUCAAUGUCAUCAUGUAAAAUUUACCUAUCAUGUAAUUUAUAGUUCAUUUUAGUUUGUUUGGAGAAGAAGAAAAAAGUUAGAAGUGACUUUUGCGCUGUAAAAACUUAUUUGAAGAAGCGGUUAACAUUUAGCUGAUUUAUGUGCUUCUAACAACAACAAAAAACAUAUCCAACUUCCAAAUAAUCACAUACGUAUGUAUAUAAGUUUCAUAAAUAAAAGGUAUGAGUUAAACGCACCUCAUCAAUUAAUGCCUCAUCACAAUUUUGUGCAGGAAAAGAAAGAAUAAUAUACACGAAGUAUCUACCUUUGUUUCCCUGCCAAUAUCUACCUUUACGUAAGACAUGGUUUAUGGUUUUCCAUGAUUCUAUGAGGUCAAUAAGGACUAGAUACCAAGCUACUUCCUGAAUCCUGAGAGUGAGUAGUUCACCCAAAAUUGUUGCCAUUUUAAAGAGAUCGAUCGGGUCUGAGGUUGAACAUAUUAGAAUACCAAUAUCCAACUGAUUGAUCGAGCGCAGAGAAUCAGGGACAGGUAGGUACAUGCAUUAACAAGAAAAAAACUAAUAAUACUGUUAUGAUGAAGAAUAAAGUGUAGAGACAAACAGAUAGCAAGAGAGUCAUUUUAUUCAUUGAUAGGAGCCCUUUAUAUAGGGAAUUACACAAUACCAAUAUGGUAAGGAUAUGAAUACAUAGAUCUAGUCUAACUAUAUAUCCUAUUGGCAUAAGGCCAAGGCACACAUAGAGAAUAUCUUAGAACACUCCCCCUUGUGCCGCACGCUGAUAUGCCGAUGGUGCUGAUCUGUUGCCUCGUCAAAAACCUCGUCAAGUCACAAAAACCCUGUAGGGAGAAAAACUGAACCUUGAUCGUAGGAGAAAAAGAGUACAACGCACCCUUCACAUUUGAUAGUGACAUGUAUGUAUGUGCUAGACUCCCCCUGAAGUUCGCACCUCCCCCUGAUCUUUACAUCAAUCAUAGGGCUCUUCCUGAUUCUUACUAAUCACGGAAGUUUCAACAACUUAGCAUGUCAAUGCUUUUUAACAUGUCUUCAAAUGUGGUAUUGGGCAAUGAUUAACUAAAUCAUGCCGUAUUGUCCUCAAAUGAUCUUUUACACUUAGAUCUUGAGGAGAAGGUUGCUUGUGAACUCAAAACAUAAGUUCGUGCAGGAAAUCAGAUUUCCGCGCAGCAUGACCUUCAAUUACUAGAACAGUCGUAACUUUCUCUAGGAAAUACAUAUGAACGAACCGUAAACGGUUUUGGAAACUAGACUCAUUUAGCUUUCCAACCGUAUAUUACACACGUUCUGGUUCCUCAAGAGCUAUUCACA